UCCAUAAAGGUUUCACAAAGAAAUCGUCUGGCCAUAUCACCAAAAUAUUCAUGGGUUAACACACGCGAAAAAUUGAGAAAAUCGCCUAAUUUUUAUAAAUUGGCCCCUAGGCCCUAAAUGCCCAAAAUAGACUCUUAAAAUGGUGAGAUUGUACAUGUUGCUUCCCCAACUCCCUACGGAGGUUUUUGUGAAAGUUUCGCAAAGGAGCCAUCUCGAAGCCGUAUCACCAAAACAUUCAUGGCUAACACACCAGAAAAACUAAAAGGUUAUCUAAUUCAUGUAAAUUGACCCCCUAAUUAAAAACUAAAUACUAAAUGUUCAUUGAUAGCGUAAAUAAUUUUAUAUGAUCAAAUUAAUUGUUUUUCUUAUUUUGUCAGCUAUCUGUUUUAUUUUUAAGGAUACAAAUCUUACUCUAUUGUGAAGGUUAUCGUUGGAUUGUUUUUAUAAUUAAUCUCAUUGUGAGGUAUUUAUUUAUUAUUAUUAGCGUAUAUAAGAUAAAUUGUUUCUUAUCACCAAGUAUUUUUAUGCUCUUUUUUGGGGUGUGAGACUUCAAAAGGUUUUGCUCUUCGAAAUUUAGCAACACCUUUAAAUGACAGUUUUUAAUACUAUUUUUGUUAAUCAGGAAGUGAUAAAUAUGGAUAAUAGACAAAAAUGGGAGCUAAGUGAAUAAAAUAAAAUGAAUUCAGCUGCUACUUCUUAUAUUUGAUUUUUUUUUUCUUCCUUUUGCCCCCCUCUUAUCUUACAAUAUAGCAGAGUUCUAUAUUACAAAAUCAAAAUUUGUGUGGAGUUGUAAAGACCACAAAUACUAGUUUGUUUACACUCACAAUUAGAAUGGCAUCUAAGCUUUUAUGCAUGCAACUUCCUACACACAAAGGUUAGUUUCAUCUGGGGCUGUAACAGUUAAAUGUUCAAGUACAUGGCAACAAAUGGCUUCUGUGUCAAGCCCGCGAAAAAGAACAGCAAUGGUGAUUGAUGUACCUAACUCUUGAGUAAAUAUCAGAACUUGAUGCAGCCAUCAGAGUAGGAAGGUGAGAAAGAAUCCAAUCGAGAGCCCAGCAUGGGCAUCUCCGAGCCAAAUAGCUUAGCUUGGUCCUUGGAAACUCAUCAUGUCAACAGCAGUCAAUAAGGUAUUACGUAUGGGAGAGCAAAAACAUCAGCAGAGUCUAUUUGCAAAGCUUCUGACCAUACCUGAUGGUCCUUAACUUCAUCAAGACACACGUCGGGUUUCCUAACCAGAGUACUCUUGCUUCCAAGCAACCAUUCCUGGUCAUAAAAUCCAGACCACUCGUCCAUCUUGGGAACUGAGAGUAUCUGGUUCAGAUACUUGGAAUCGGGAUGAGGAGGUCUUUUAGACGCUUCAGCAAUAUGAUCAGCACCAGGAGACAUGGAAGAAGCCUUUGGUUUAGAUUGAGCCAAUGUCUUUGGUUUAGACAUAGUUAAUGGCUGACCUUUAAUUGUACCAUUGACCCUGCGCUCCUUGUUUCCAACCUCGAUAUCAGUGGCAACUCCGUGCUUGUUGGGUAACUUAAUUGUACCAUUAACCCCACGCUCCUUGUUUCCCAUCUCAAUAUCAGUGGCAACUCUGUGCUUGUUGGAUAACUUAAUUGUACCAUUGAGACUCUGCUCCUUGUUUAUCACCUGAAUAUCAGUAGUAACACCUUGUUUGUGGGAAGAUAACAUGUCUGUUUUUUGGUGAGUCUCCAUGUUUGCCAUCUCAAUAUCAGUGGCAACUCCGUUCUUGUUGGAUAACUUAAAUGUACCAUUGAGACUCUUCUCCUUGUUUAUCACCUGAGUGUCGGUGGCAACACCUUCUCUGUGGGAAGAUAACAUGUCUGUUUUUUUGUGAGUUUCCAUGUUUCCCAUCUCAAUAUCAGUGCCAACUCCGUGCUUGUUGGACAACUUACUUGUACCAUUGAGACUCUGCUCCUUGUUUAUCACCUGAAUAUUGGUGACAACACCUUGUUUGUGGGAAGAUAACAUGUCUGUUUUUGUGAGUUUCCAUGUUUCCCAUCUCAAUAUCAGUGCCAACUCCGUGCUUGUUGGACAACUUACUUGUACCAUUGAGACUCUGCUCCUUGUUUAUCACCUGAAUAUUGGUGACAACACCUUGUUUGUGGGAAGAUAACAUGUCUGUUUUUGUGAGUUUCCAUGUUUCCCAUCUCAAUAUCAGUGCCAACUCCGUGCUUGUUGGACAACUUACUUGUACCAUUGAGACUCUGCUCCUUGUUUAUCACCUGAAUAUUGGUGACAACACCUUGUUUGUUGGAAGAUAACAUGUCUGCUUUUUGGUGAAUCUCUAAUCUCUUUCCAUUCAGUGUGGGAUGAUGAGAGGAUGAGGGCCGCAGCAAUUUAGCAGGCCUGACUUCAUUCUCUGUACAUUGGAACAGAAAACAAGCAACACUAAUCAGUCAAACCCAAAGAACAAUCAAAGCUGAACAUGCUAGAUUCAAUUUUAUAAGAAAAUGUUGAAAACAGUGCUUACCAAUUACCUAACAGACAGCUACAGCCAAAAACAUAAGAAACAAAUCAUAUACACACUUGCAGAGCUUUCCUACUAUCAAUAGAGGAUAAAGCAAUAUAGUAUUCGAUAAAAUAGCAGAUGCUAAAUUUUUUGUUCACUCACCAUGCAAGAAACCGUUUGUUUCAAUAUCCUUUCUUUUUCUGUGAUUUCCCUCUGUGACUCCAGCAAUGGUAUCCUUGAGUACAACUGGAACUUGGUGGUUGGUGUUACUAACACUGAGAGAAGUGCUCUGAUUGAUGUCCUUUGAUUUAUCCUUUUCACUUUUCUUGUGUGCACUUUUGUCCUUCCCCUUCUCUUCCUUUUUCUUUUCUUUAUCCUUUCCAUGACUUUUCGCAUCCUUUUCUUUUUUCUUCUUCUUGUCUCUUGGUUUGUCAUCUCGUCUUCCUUUGGAUUUCUCUUUGUCCUGUCUCCUGUUCUCAACAUUCUCUUCCAAUGGUGGUAGCAAUCCAUGAAAGUUUCUAUUUUCCAUCUCUGAAAAGCUCGGAAGUUUUGCAUUAGCACCAAUUCUCGGUUCAACUCUGACUUGAUGUCCAUCCAUCUUGUUGGUAAAAUCACUUCUCUCCUUGUUCUUUUCCUUUUCUCUAGCCAAAUUACCCGAAUCCUUGAUAUACAUACUGUUUGACUUCGCAUCCCUUUUCGACUCAACUGGAAAUCUCUCAGCCAACUGACUGACUGCGCCAUUCUGGUCAUCUCUAAGCCUCCUAGCCAAAUCCUGCACAUAUCUUGACUCCUCUGUCUCAACAAUGGGGAGGCUGGAUUUAAAGAGCUUUUCAGCAAGCUGGCCAUGAGACUGAUCAUGGAAUUUCGCUUCCUGUGAGUUGAUGCUUUCAUUUUUGAAAUGUUCGUCUCCACUAGGAAGCUUCUGUCCACUAGAAGCCCCAGGUGGAACAGCAACUUUUGCCUCUUCAGAGAUGUCGCUUCUCUCUUUAUCCUUAUCCUUGUCCUUCUUUUUGUCCUCGUGUUUUUCCUUCUUGUCCCGGUGUUUAUCCUUUUUGUCCUUCUUUUCUCUGUGUUUCCCAUCACUUCUGUCUUUAUCCCUUUUUUCUUUACCUUCUUUCUUAUCUUUGUCCUUUUCCUUUUUAUGUUUUUUCUCUUUCCGUUUCUCCUACAGAACAGGAAAAAAUGGCAAUUCUAUAUCAAUAAAUGAAGAAACUUGAGGCAAGAAAUUAAAUUGUAGAAACCGAGUAAAAGCACCAAACUUGGUAAUCAGAUUUAGGAGUUCCGAGGAAAUCCUAAAUAUAGGCUACACGAGCAUACACACAUGAGAGCACUAAGGACAUUGCAGUAGUUGCCUAGGAAAAGUACCAACAACCGGUUGAGAACCACUAACCUUCAUUAGAGCAAAUGAAAAGGAAUACGUAGCCAUACAAUGUUAAAUUAGUAAUAAGAAAGCAAAACCACUAAACAAUGGCAUGUAAUUACAUUGAAAAAAUAGUAACAAGCACACGAACAAUUUGGAAAGCAGUGAAACUUAGGCAAAGAGCUACAACUGAAAAUUUUAUGUUUUGGGAUGGUCAAUGGUAGCCAAAUAAACCAAAAGAGAAGAAAAUCAAUGAUAAAAAAGUAUCAUCCUCCAACACAAGACAAGUCAACAACAAACUCCCAACACUUUUUUCCAGCUCUAUGUAGUUCACACACUAAAACAAGCUUCUAUAUCCUCUAGAAUCAGAACUUAACAACCUUGGGUUAAAAGGGAACAAGCAACAUCUCAACUUCCCUAUUUACAUCACUAAAAUGCACAUAAUUAACAACUGAAGAGUUGAAUCUCUGGAGUCUGACUCAUCUGAGAAAUAAAUGCCAGAUCAUCUCAAUAUAUAGGAAGUUUGUUAGCCCUCAUGAACAAGGAACAGGCAUUCAAGGCCAGUUCAUUGCUUCCACUAACAUGGGACGCCAGUUACACGACUGCUAAAAUGGACAAACUGCUUUGACAUUAGAGUAUGCUAAGAAAUAAGAUGUAGUGGUUUCUGACAAUACACAAUAAGUUGAUCCAUUUUCCAUCACUGGCGUGUUAUCAAUUACCACCUUUGUUUAGCAAAAAUAAAUUUUGAAUCCUACAUGUUACUACACCCUCCUAUAAAGUAAACACACUCCAUGCUUAUUAAUUGCCCUUCAACUGCACAGAUAAUUACAAUCUCCAUUGACAUGGAAGGGAUCUCCAUAAGUUUCAAAACUUCUCGAAAAUUUUCUACCCCUGAAUGGGAAACAUCCUUAACUCAUCUAGUUGCUCCAGAUUACCAUCUUGUCAUUAAUAUUGGGAAGGAUGAAGUAACAGUGCAGGAACAUUGAUUUUACAAGAACUGGGAAUAUAACGGGAACAGGACAUUAGGGAAUGCAAAACCGAAGGUAACAACAUCUUCUAGACGAAGUCAUUCUACCGCAGGCUACAUAAGAGGGAUGACCUAGGAUUUCCAUAUCAUUCAAUAUGGAUACUGAGAGCUCCAAGGUUUGCUUGUUAGCUUGGAUGGCAACAAAAGGUAUCCUAAUGGUAGAGAACUCGAGGAAAGGGAAAAUAACGUAUAUUAGCUGGUAUUCCUUCUUUCUUUUUUUGAACAGUAAAAUAUAUGUUAGAUGAUAUUUCAAGUGCAAGCGUUCAGGAGAAGACAAGAAGCACUUGCUAAUGCACUGUAAAAUAGCAAGUCAAUUGUGGUGGACAGUCCUUAAUGUUAAGAAACAAUGGACUAUGCCAGAAACAAUUAAGGAUGCGAUGAGCAGUUGGGCGUACAGGAAGAGAGGAGGAGAGGUAAAGCAUCUGGUGUAGCACCCUAUUCACUUCUUGUGGGCACUUAAAAACUUUUCUUUGAAUAACCUAGCUGCAGAUUCAAAGUUUAACCUUUUAACUCAAAUAAAACUUCAUAAUGAAGCAUAUAUAGUCCGCCACUAUGAGUGGAAACUUUUAAUAGAAUUUAUUUUUCUUCCCUUUUUAGCGACUGCUUCUAGCUAUACUUAGCACCAUUAUGAAUUAUGAGGUAUAAAAGAUAUGAUUUGUAUGGUUGGAUUAAGAUACCUCCCAAUCUGCAAUGUGACAAUACCCUGUUAAGUUACCAGACAGCAAGACAACCUAUACCUCCCUUCUCAUUCCCUCUUCCUCUUAAGAAAGAAAAGAACGGGGGAAUUCCUCCUCUACUUUGCUGCAUCUUAGUUUUCUACUGAAGCUAAAAAUCCUUCUUCCCAUGAGAUAAGAGCGCUCUCUUUCCCCUCACACACUAAAGCUAAGCUGACCAAAACCAGUCAGAAUGUUGGCUGCUUCAUGAAGCAUAGCUUGUGGCAUCCACAGGCAAGGCAAUUUGCGCAGAACCAAUUUUCCUAGGUCCAUCUUCAAAAGAAUUCUCGGGCAAUACAAGGUCACCUUCUAGAAAGGUGAUCACUGAAUAUUAGGUUCAGGUCUAAGUUAUUAAGAUCAUUCAAGAGACUAAUAAAUAAAAGGCCUCAGGUGAACAAGUAUACACAUGCAAAAGCUUGCAAUUCACUUCCUAUUCUAGGACUUGGGACUGCCUGAAUUGGUGAACUAAUUGUAAAAGAAGCCUCUUCUUGUUUUCAGAUAAGUUAUACUGAAAGGAACUAGUUCUAAAUGAAAUCUGUAACCAUAUACACCCUAAUCUUGGUGAGGCACACAUAUUCUCUUCUGCAAAAUCAUUCACCUAAUGUCAGAUUUUGGCUCAACAAACAGCCCUAAAUGAAACAGGUAGCAUAUGUUCAGAUAUAACAAUUCACAUUCUAAGGAACAACAAAGGCUUUCCAGGACAACCAUUUUGUAUGAGGAUAGGAGACAUGCAAGUAUUAUUAGGCCUUCUGGUGUUAUUUCAUUCAGAUCGACUGUUUAUAUCAUGUUUUAAUAGGAGGUAAUCUAAUAUCUUGAAAGUAAAAGACAAGAAUAGCAGCUAGAUCAAGAGUAGAAAAAGAAUAUCAAGUAAUGACUGGCUAAAUGUGAGCUUCUGUAUAAAGCAACUUCUCAAAGAGUCGAGGUACAGAGAAGAUGAACCAAUGAAAUUGAUCAGCGAUAAUCAGUUGCAUUGCACAUUGCUUCAAAUUUGGUGUUUCAUUAAAGAACGAGUUGUUUAAAAAUAGACUAUAAUUUUACUCAACAAAAGAUUGAGGUUUCUUCAACUCAAAUGAUUAUAUGGAAAAAAUUCUAAGAAAAAUAUUAUCUGGCUCCAAAUUGAGUAUACUCAAAACAAGUAUUUCUUCAACUUGAGAGAUGGAGUUAAGAAUAUUCUAAAUUUAUAGUCAAGACCUUGGGAAUAUCUGAAAUAUCGAAUCUUCAAAUUGUAAAUUUAGUCAUGUCUUUGUUUUUAACUCGUAGAUACUAAUACUGAUUGAAUCUCAAAAUGCUUGAGAAAACAUCAAACAAUUCAUUCUCAAAAUCUCAUGUUUCUCCUUUCUUUCUUUUUUUUAAGACAAAGGUAAGUAUCUCGUGUUUCUCCUUUCUUCAUGGAUAUCGGGGGGACACUAUGAAACACACAUAGUACAGGUUGCCACUGAAAGAACAUGUGCAAAAGCAUAUUUACAUAAAGCAAAAUGGUCAGGCAGUGAUACGCCCAUUCAUACUUAAGUAGCACAUUCAAAAUAUUUUAAGAGAAAACAAAAAAGGGAAGAGGAAACUGUCAUACUCAUAAUAACUAAAAUGACGCCAUUUAACCUGAGGAUAUAUUUGCUUGGCUGCCACAAAAAUAAAGGCAUUCUCCACUAAAAUCUAAGGUCUUCAAAAGUAACGAUCCCCAAUAUCCUCAGUAAGUUCUACAGAAAGGUUAUUUUUCCAAAGGUUUUAAGACAUCACACGGCAGAAAUAUCCACUACACAGAACCAUGGUGUACCCCUUCACACAAAAGGUGCUAAUGAUAAGACUGAUCAAUAAGUUUCUCUUUUCUUCAUUUUGUAUUCUUUUCACCAACGACAAUAAUUACAAUGUCUGAUGAGUUUUCCAGAACUCAAUGAGCAACACUAGAUGAAAGAGACUGAUCAAUAAUUGCAACAUAUCACAACUGUUCCCUUAAGAUGUCAACUAAUGGAUUCCACGAUUAUCCAAAGAAACUCAAUGGGUUUUACUUGCAUUAGUCAGCCAAAUUCAUCUUAAAUCCAGAAUCUUUUUUUCAUAUCAAAAACUUAAUUCCCAAAAGGAAUGACUAAACCAUGACCAAACAAAAGAAUCAGGCAUCACGUCCUCACUAAUCUAGAAAAAACAACAAGCAUAUCCCUAUACAUCUCUUUUAAACAAGAUUACCCUAUCACUGAGCAAAGCUUCAAAAGAGUCUUCUCCAUAUAAAUUAAUCCAAUCACAUUACUGAUGUUUAAAGUAUCCUUCAUACUUCAAAGAUUACUUUUUAAAAAAUCAAUCCAUCCGAAUAUGUCCAUGCAUCACAGCUAAAUCCCUUUAUAAUAAGGUAACCGUCAUGAAAUAUCAGUAUUGGUAUAACAAAAGCAUAUCAACACAAUAAUGAUAUUGCCAUAUAACUUAAACAAACCUCUUUUAAUAAGUCCCUGUCCUCUGGUCUAGGCUUCUUAUCAUAUCCUGGUGGUGGAAAUGGAAAGCAACGCGACAUGGCACAGAAUUCUACUCUGAGUUAAAAAGGCGCUGUUUCGGAAACAGUGUCCUUCAGUUACUUUCUCACAGCAGUGUUCCAGUAACAAGCAACUAGACUUCUGUCCAUUCACCAUGACCCCACAUUACUUUCCAGCUUCAAUGCACCUCCAUUUAAUCCUUUUAACUCAAAUCAGUCCAAAAACCAACCAACAGCCAAAACCAACUUAAUUAAACUAGCUCUUCACUUCAAAUAUCCCAAUGUGAUCAACAGAGUAAUCUGAAACUCCUUUCAAUAUACUCUAAAUCUAAGACGACCGAGUUAAAACACGAAAAACCACCACAAAAGCCUUUCAAGAGCUAUGUCAAACCAAAUGAUUUUCCUUUUCCAAAGUAAUCUGAUCCUUUUUCUUGUCUGCAAAACCAAAACUUUACAAACGUCACCUCUUGCAUAUCAAUUCCAAAUGCAAAUAACACAAGCAUUCCCUACACUAUUAAGCCUACACAAAAAAUGACGAAAAACGCGAUCCCCUUUUCACCUGAAAAGCUCGAAAACCUCCUUUUCUUUUUCCUUUGCUUCAGUAGUUCCCGGUCUCUAGUAGUACAUACAGUCCUCUUCCAUACCCUAAUCUCUAUCAUUCAAUUCCCAACCUCAAAUAUCCACCAAAGACCAUAUUUUCCCUCCGAUCUGGAGCUGUAAAUUACUCAACAAAAAGCUGAAUUCAACACUGAGAAAGUUCCAAUAUGCUGAUCAAACCCGAAAAUUACUUGGCGCUUUCCCCCAGUCACUGAUCCGAUUUGAAAACCCUAGAAAAUUCCAUCAAAACCAGCAAAAGAACAAUCAUUCAGCACCCAAGAACAGAACAAAAACCCUAAAAUUUGUACAGAAAAACUCAAACUUGUUUCAGUUUUGUGGAAUCAAAGUGAAAAAUCCAACACCCUUUUCCAAAAAUCUCAUCUUUUCAUCAAAAAAACUCAAAAAUUCCCAUUUUAAUUCAAAAAUCAAGAACCCCAAAUGGGUAAAAAAGAAAAAAUCUUUAGCUGAGAUUACAAUCAAUGAGAUUAGAUUUAAUUCUUAAUUUGUUAUUUUUUACCUUUUUAUGAGGGAUAAGAUCUCAACCAAUAUAACAUGAAAAACAAUAAGGAAAGAAUGGGUUUUUGCAGCCAAAAUUAUUGUAUUUUGAGUUUUCUCUUUGUUAUGAUGAUGAACAAUAGGGUUUGAGAAAACUGGGUUUUUUGUGUUUUUAAUUUUUUUUUUCCUUUUUUGGUUUUGCUUUGCUGUUUUUUCUGUUCUGGGUUUGGGGGAAAUGCACGCAAAAUGGCCAGGAGAAAGAGGGAAAAAAGGGAAACAGAGGGGUAAGAGUCUAAGCCUCACAUAUAUAUAUAUAUUGACAGAGAAAUGUUUUUGUGAUAAAAAAAAAAANNNNNNNNNNNNNNNNNNNNNNNNNNNNNNNNNNNNNNNNNNNNNNNNNNNNNNNNNNNNNNNNNNNNNNNNNNNNNNNNNNNNNNNNNNNNNNNNNNNNNNNNNNNNNNNNNNNNNNNNNNNNNNNNNNNNNNNNNNNNNNNNNNNNNNNNNNNNNNNNNNNNNNNNNNNNNNNNNNNNNNNNNNNNNNNNNNNNNNNNNNNNNNNNNNNNNNNNNNNNNNNNNNNNNNNNNNNNNNNNNNNNNNNNNNNNNNNNNNNNNNNNNNNNNNNNNNNNNNNNNNNNNNNNNNNNNNNNNNNNNNNNNNNNNNNNNNNNNNNNNNNNNNNNNNNNNNNNNNNNNNNNNNNNNNNNNNNNNNNNNNNNNNNNNNNNNNNNNNNNNNNNNNNNNNNNNNNNNNNNNNNNNNNNNNNNNNNNNNNNNNNNNNNNNNNNNNNNNNNNNNNNNNNNNNNNNNNNNNNNNNNNNNNNNNNNNNNNNNNNNNNNNNNNNNNNNNNNNNNNNNNNNNNNNNNNNNNNNNNNNNNNNNNNNNNNNNNNNNNNNNNNNNNNNNNNNNNNNNNNNNNNNNNNNNNNNNNNNNNNNNNNNNNNNNNNNNNNNNNNNNNNNNNNNNNNNNNNNNNNNNNNNNNNNNNNNNNNNNNNNNNNNNNNNNNNNNNNNNNNNNNNNNNNNNNNNNNNNNNNNNNNNNNNNNNNNNNNNNNNNNNNNNNNNNNNNNNNNNNNNNNNNNNNNNNNNNNNNNNNNNNNNNNNNNNNNNNNNNNNNNNNNNNNNNNNNNNNNNNNNNNNNNNNNNNNNNNNNNNNNNNNNNNNNNNNNNNNNNNNNNNNNNNNNNNNNNNNNNNNNNNNNNNNNNNNNNNNNNNNNNNNNNNNNNNNNNNNNNNNNNNNNNNNNNNNNNNNNNNUGGGGUGGGGGUGUGAUUCAUCAAACAUGUCGAAUCAUGAGGGUCUAUUGUACAUAGUUUAACUCACUUUCAUAGCUCGAAUAUGUGAUUAUUAGGUUAUAUGACAAUAACUUUACUAGUUACGUUAAGACUGUUCACAUACACUCUUUCUCUUUUUCAAUACUUGAUCGUUUUAGAAUCGACUUCAUAUACAUGCAAAACUAAAGAAAUUAGGAUUUGAAGUUGGUAACUUCAAUUAUAUGUAUCUAAAGUUGGAUUUACUAAAAUGUAGCUUUAUAUUUGUAUGUUUGAAAUUGGUAUAUUGCUUGUAGUGUUUGAACUUCAAACAUUUAAUUAGGUCUGAAGUUAAGCUUGACACUUGACCGUUUAAACUUUAGGAUUGUAUAUUUAAAGUUGCAACUACCAUAUCUCUAACUUCAGACUUAAACAUUUCGGAGUUAAAAUUGCAAAUUUGAAUCAUACGUAUUUAAAGUUGAAUUUAAUAAAAUCUAAUUAACUUCAAAUUUUCACGUUUAAAAUUGAUAUAUUGCUUGUGGUAUUUGAAUUGCAAAUAUUUACCUAUGAAGUCAAAUGGGAUUUCAACUUUAGACAUGUAAGUUUGAAAUUUCAAAUUUGAGUAUUCUAAACUUAAAGUUGCAAACUUUAAUUAUAUGUAUAUGAAGUUGGGCUUAUUAAAAAUCUAUCUUUAAACUUGUAUGUUUGAGGUUGGUAUAUUCAUCAUAGUAUUGUUCCCUUAUGAAACUCAGCUACUCAUUAAUAGUAUUUUCUUGCAUUUACUAGACAAUGGAACAAAUAAAGUUAUAGUUUAGCUUGUAUAAUUAAAUGUUCAAGCUUUGGAAAAUUAGUUUUUUGUUUGGUUAUGUAACGAACGAUGACAAAAGUAAUAAAGGCGAAUCAAAUAAUAUUUUUGUGGAAGUGUCUCCUUCAUAUGAUAAUGAAAUAUUUAAUAUUUAUUUUCUCAAUAAUAGAAGUACUCUUAAAAAGUGAAAAAUAAAAUCGUGUUAUUCAUCUAAGUAUGAUCUAAAUUUUUAUAGUUGAUUAUGAACUUUUGAAAAAAUAGACAAGAUUUUCUUGUUCAAGAACAACAUUUAUGAAACUUCCUAUAAAUUGGGAAUUAAUGUUUUGAAAUAGUUCAUUUUUUUAACUAUAUAAACAUGAACUCACCUAACAAAAUGCAAGAAUUUUCCUAAUAAAUUGUCAUCAUAUCUCAUUUGCAGAAUUCAAGGUAGUUUAUGCUUAAAAUUUUGUUUUCCAAAAUAUUGGCUUUUCUUUUAAUGCAAAUCACAAAGCUCUAAUUAAACAAACUUGCAGUGGCAAUUUGUUUAACAAUUUAUUUUCCAAGAUGCUUUCAAAGUUUAAUACUUACUUCCAUAAUAAUAGUUGUUCACUUUUCCUUUACGGGCUUCUUAAUUAAAUAAGAAGAACAAUUUUAAUAAUUUACUCUUUAAAAAACUUUUUUGAAAUUUUACAAAUUUGUUUACACUUUCAAAACAACUAAUUAUAAGUGUAAAUUUUAAAAAAUAAAUAAUUAACAUGUCUCAAAUAUUGACAAAUAAUUUGGGACAAAACUUUUAUAAUAAAGUGGACAAUUAAUAUGAAAUGGAGGAAACAUAUAUCUCUCGUCUUUCAGAAUAUCUUAAAUUUUGUUAGUCACAUAUUGUCAUAGAUAAGAAAAGUUAGUGUAUUGCUCUACACAUAUUAUGAUAGAAAACUAGUUAUAUAAUCAUGGUGUAUAAUAUGUUAAUUUUGUUUUUUUUAAUUAGAUCAAUUUUCUUAUUCAUAUAUACAUAUUAUGUUAAUUUAUUUAUUUUUUAUAUUUACUUCUUUAUAUUUUUAAAUCCGUCCGACCUAUAGCUUUACCUUAAUAUACGUACAUGAGUUUCUACUUUGUGCUUCAAUUCACAUUUUGCAUUAAAUAGGCAGACAUUAAUAAAAAUAUUUACAAAAGCAGUAAUUAAUUAGUUUGGCAUUUUAUAUAUGUGGCUUUUUUGUUAAAACAAAAUUGCAAGUUGUGGAUAUUUGGGUGUAAUAAACUUGUAUUCCUAGUAAGUGCAUAUUUUGAUUUGUCUUAAAUGUGAUUAAUUAAACUCGCGAUAUUGUGAUAUAAAUUAUAAUAUAUUGAUCGCUAAACAUUUUCUAAAGAAUAAAUACAAUGUAUUUUAUAUGUGCCUUUUUUUUCUCACGUCAACGUCACCCAUGUGGAAUAAGAAAGUCGAUUUGUCUCUUCAAUAUGCAAGUAUGUUUAAUAAAACUAGGGAUGCGCAUCGGUCGGUUCGGUUCGGUUUUAGGUGUUAUUGGUUCGGUUUAUCGGUUUUCGGUUUGUAAAUACGCCAAACCGAUAACCAAACCAAUAACAUAUUUCUUAUCGAUUUUUGGUUAAUCGGUUUAUGGUACUUAACGGUUCGGUUUUCGGUUUAACCAAUAAGAAAAUACUCAUAUAUAUUAUAUACACGAUAAGAAAAUUUCAAAUAAACCAUAUGAUUUUUCCAGCAUUUGGCAUGAAAGUAAUAAUCAUAAAAGUAACAAUCAUUUUUCUUGCAAGUUUAGACACUAGACACAUUCAAAGGAAAAAGUGUGAAAGUAACAAUCGUUUAACCAUUAACAAUAAGACUAGUAAAUUUAGUAUAGUCUUAUUGGGUUAUCGGUUUAACCAUUAACAAAAAUUAUAAAACCGGAAACCGAACCAAUAACCCAAUAAAAAAAAUUGCAAAACCGUUAGCCCAAUAACCCAAUAUCAAUAAACCAAUAGUGUUUUUUUCGGUUCGGUUUAUUGGUUAAAUCGGUUUUUGCACACCCCUAAAUAAAACAACUCAAGAAAAAGGACUCAAUCUUAAUUAUUUAUCUUCAAAUUAUCUAGACCAAGUAGAAAGAAAUAAUGUAUCUGUUUGAAAAAACGACAUAAAAUAGAUAUCUUAUUCACUUUUGUCCUAAACAAAUAAGGUAAAUAAUAACUUUCAUUUUUUAAUUAGAUAUCUCAAAUUUUGAUCCUAUAAAUAGAGAAACUUUCAAUGAAAACAAAUUUCAUGAAACAUAAAUUUAAAUUAGUUAAACUUAUGUUUUGUGAAUACCAAAUGCAUACAUAGGAAAAGAAAAUAACAUCUCCUUAUAUAAAACAACCUAUAAGAAAACAAGUGUGCACUAGAAAACACAAAAUCAAUAAGAUUUGUAGCUUUUUAUUAUUGGUAUAAAUAUAAACUUAUACAUCUUCAAGUGUACCUUUAAUAAAUGACUUUCUAUUUUUGGUAUUUACACCAAAUACAAAGAAUCUUGAAUAUUAUUUUUUGUACUUUUACUUUCUUAUUUCUCAGCUUGUGUAGCCCUAGUAGUAUUUUCUUCUCUUAAUAGGAAAAAAAUGUUAGAUAAAUCUGGGGUACAUUUAUUCCUUUAAAUUUAAACAUUAGCUUAAAAGAACGAAACAAUGAGGAACGAUCCAACCAUAAGGAGGAGGAGACGCUACUGGCAAAGACUAUCUUGAUGAUCUAUUUAUUUUUACCCCUAAGAGAAAGUCGUCAAAAAGUUCAUUUCAGGAGUGAAAGAAAAUCUGACAUACGUAAAUCAUAAUAAUACGUGUUAUGUGCAUUCAUCGUUUCUUAUUCAAGUAAGGAUACUGUUUGAUUUAAAGAUAAAUUAUGUCAAACUAUUGUAUGAAAUAGCAAACUAUUAAUUCAAAUUAACUGUUAUAGCCAUAGUUUCUUUUAUUUGUAAUUCGCAGCAAACAUUCCAUGUUUUUGCCAUCUCAUGUUUUUGCCAUCCCAUUUGUAUACCGAAAUAUACAAAUAGAGGAUCCAUUUGUCUACCGAAAUAUACAAAUGCAGGAUCCAUUUGUAUACCGAAAUAUACAAAUGCAGGACCCAUUUGUAUACCAAAAUAUGCAAAUGCAGAACCUAUUUGUAUACCAAAAUAUACAAAUAGACACAAAUACAUAUUUUUUUAUGUAUAUGUAUACCGAAAUAUACAGAUUAAUAGUGAUAGCAAACAUAAAGUUUGCUAUGGAGUGCAAUUAUACAAACUAUAGUCAUAGCAUACAAAUAUGAUUUUUAUGUGUGCUAAACCUAAAAUUUACUCUUUUAUUAUUCACCCGAUGUUUGUGAGCGUGUGGUUCACGCGCUUAUAGGAGCGUGAAAGAAGAGUUGUAGGAAAAGGCCAUUUUGCCUAAUCUACAUGUGGGUUGGUUCCUUCCCCAUUGUGAAAACAUCAGUCUUGUCCAUCCACGUGUCACUUCAGGGCUAUUUUUAACUAUAUAUCUAACCGUACACGUGUCCAUUUGUCACCUUCCAAUCUUUGAAAUGACAAAAUUGAGUUCUUCAUGUGGAGGGGAGCAACUAAAUGAUCGUUCUAGUUCUAGUAUGGAGAAUAUAACAUAGGGGCGGAGCUAGCUAGGAUCAGGGGCGUAGCUAUAGUCAUCUCAGGGUGUCUAAUUGAACACUCUUUAUCGGAAAAUUACAUUGUAUGUAUAUGUCAAAUUAUAUAUUUAAAGGAUAUAUAUUUAAAGUUUGACAUCUUUAACAAAAAAUAUGCCUUUGGCGUAGUGGUAAUGAGUGUCCAUUCGAAUGGAGUUUAGGGUUUGAACCCAAAUAGCACAAUAUUUUUUUGCUUUAUUUUGACUGUCACACACCAUUAUUCUUGGAUACCCUUAAUAAAAUUUCUGGCUCCGGCGCUGGCUAGGACUCAGGGUAUUCAUUGAAAAAUUAUAUUAUCUUUUUACGUAUAUAUGAUAGAUAUUGAAUUCUUUUUUAUUUUUUCGUGUGUUUAAUUCGAACUCUGCCAUUAAUCAUGAGGUGUAGUAGAAUAAAGGAGGUACUUUACGAGGCGCAAAGUUAUAUUAUAGUUGUCAAACUUCUUAAGGUGUAUGUAUAUUUGAAAUUUGAAAAUGUCAUUAUGAAAUUUCAGGACAUUAUCAUGGAGUUUCGUUUAUGGAAUUUAAAACUUCAUGACAACGGCUAUUUUUUCAAUAACAUGGCUAAAGAAUGGCUAGCCCACGCAUUGUUACUACUUACUACAAAAUGAAUAGUUUCUUAAUUAUUAGGAAAUUUGUUGAUAUGGGCCUAAAGGUCUUUCAUAGGCUUCUAUUUAUUUGGGCCUUGACUAUCCUACCCAGCCCAGUAAUCCAGCCAGCCCAUGUAUAAAUAUAUGUUCUUGAAGGUCAUAUAUCUUGUUUAGGGUAUGUGUUUUAGACCUGGGAAUAUCGAGUUCAUUUGAGUUCAGUAUUUUAGAUGCAAAAGAUUAAAUAAAUUUUAUGGAGUUUCAAUGAAUGUCCAAUCCAGACUUGUAGGUUAAAGUAUGAUAGGUUUAGUACUAAGAACCUUAAAUGUUGAAUCUAACAAGUUAAAAUUCUUAAUAUAUUCGCAUAUGAGUUUAGGGUUUUCAGUUUCAUUUUCAUUUUAGUUAGGCAUAAUUUCAUUAGAUCUUAUACGAUAACUAAGGAUCAAAUUUCCUCUUGAACUUUGCAAAUGGUUCACCCUUUAGCUAUUGUUGUUAACUCAUAAGGGCAAAAUCGACUCACUUUAUUAAUACCAAGAAGGGAGAGCAAAGUUACGUUGUUCCAUUUCGUUUAUAAGAUACUUCAUUUAGUCCAAUAUAAAUGAAUCCCUUAAUAAAGAUAUUUAAGGACAUAAAUUAAAGAGUAAUUUUCAAUAUUAUCGUUUUGAUUCUUUGCCAACUCUUUUUAAAAGUAGUUAAAAACCUCAUUAAAAAAAAGGAUAAUCUGAAUGAAUAAAUAGAUUAAUACUUUUAAACUUUAAAAUUUUCACUUAUUUUGAAUUAAAAAAGUCUCAAUAAUUCACUAUUUCACUUAUAUUGGACUACCAUUUUAUAUGCUUUUAUGAUUAGUGGUAUAUAAUACAAGAAAUUAAAGAAAGAAAAUUUGAAAGACACAUCAUGUGGCCUAUCUUUACUAUUUAUUCUUAGGAUGUAUGAUUAUCACCAUUAUUUUGUCUUUAACAUGAUUUUACACACUUUAUUUAGAUUAACAUAUUUAAAUUUAUGCCUCCCUUUUUAAAUCUUCAAAACAUAAAAACAAUACAGAAGAGAACCGAUAAAUAUAAAGUCAAAGAAAAACAUAAAAGAGAAUCUUGAUUUUUAUCAUUGAUAUAUAUCUCAACUCAUUACAAUUCUUGAUUAAUGACAAAGCUUAUCUGCACUAAUUAUUUUUUUGUACAGAAAAACUAUUAAUUAAAACAUUUAUUACAAGCCCCACUUCACCAAUAAUCUACACUUGUCAUUUUCCUCCCCCUCUCAUUUUUCUUGGUAUAUAUAAAAAAAAACAAGAAAAAUAUAAACAUGCGGAAAAAUAAAACUUUCCUUUUGCCUUUUCAUCCAUCUGAACGAGUUACCUGAUACAUGUGCUAGACGUCGGAUCCUGAUAGGUAACAUGUAUCGUAUCUGACACAAUGACUGAAAUGCGUCAGUACAAGCUGACUCGAAUACCAUCUUCAAUAUCACUCAAUCUUGAGAAUGGUCAUUAGAGGAGUCUAAAUCUUUUGAUUGAAUCCCAUAAUAACUCACAUACCACUUGACAAAUUUCCUUAAUCCACUUGACAAAUCUGUGGUUGGCUUAUACCCAAAAUCCUUUUUAGCCAAUGUAAUAUUAGCAUGUGUAAAUGGUACAUCACCAUUUCUUGGCAUUUUAAUUACAUUUUUUUUAGCCUUAACAUUUAAUAAAUUCUCCAAAAUUGUCACCAAUUUGUUUACUGAUACUGGUGAAGUGUUACCUAAAUUGUACACCCUUAAUUGGGCCGGACCCUUCUUCUUGCCACCACUCCCGGUGCUCUUCUCCGCCGUGUCUAACGACCCGAUACACCCUUUAACGAUGUCAUCGAUAUACGUGAAGUCACGUGCCACCUCUUUAUCAUCUUGUGUAACGUAAACAUUUAUUGGUUUACCUUGUACCAUGUCCUUAGUAAAAAAAAAAUAGGCCAUGUCUGGUCUACCCCACGGUCCGUAAACAGUAAAAAACCUUAAUGCGGUUAAAGAAAGACCGUAAAUAUGAUUAUACGUAUGUGCAAUUUCUUCACCGGCUUUUUUCGUUGCAGCAUAAAGGCUAGCCGGUUGAUCCGUACGAUGACUUUCGGAAAAUGGUACAUUUGUGUUCAACCCGUAAACCGAACUGGACGAUGCCCAGACAAUCGCGGGUUGAGGGUUAGCUAACUUGACCGUCUCUAAUAAGUUGACAAACCCUGCAAUGUUCGAUUGGAUGUACGAUAGUGGAUUUUUCAUCGCGUACCGCACCCCCGCCUGCGCGGCUAGAUGUAGUACAUGUGUGAAUGGAACAAUGUCGAACAGUUUGGAUAACAACUCGGCAUCGUUUAUAUCACCUUCCACUAUGAAGACUUCGUGUUGCGCCAAUAACUUUUGGCGCCCACGUUUCAAUGAAGGGUCAUAAUAGGAAUUAAAAUUGUCUAUUCCCAAGACACCGUCCCCACGUUUCUUUAAUGCCAUUGAGCAAUGAGAACCAACAAAACCAGCCGCACCUGAAUUAGAAGCGAAUUCAGAAUUUAAUUUUUUUAUAACUCUGACUUUUAUACAAACAUAAUAAUUACACUAACUUUUACGAUAUUUAUGUGUACAUGCAUUGGAUUUAAAUUAAAUUAAAUAAAAUCGCGUAAAUUAUAUAAUCGUACUAACCUGUAACCAAUACGGAUAAACCAUUGACACGUCGAGGAGUGGAGGAGUGGCGGACUUGUUUCUCCCAAGCGGCGCCACCACCGUAGAAGGAGGAGGAGAGGAGGUUAUGGGUGGUGGUGUGAAUAUUAUGAUGAUGUGGAUUACUAUUUUCCGAUGAGGUAAAAGGAGGGUAAUUUAUGAUGAAAAAAAAGAUUAAUAUUAGAGCUACUAAAAGUGUAACUCUAAAAAGAAGUUUAGAAGAAGCAACAAUUAAUUUUGUGCUAUUUAAUCUUCUAAUGUAGCUAUUAUAUCUCUCUAAUUUCAUUUCUUUGCUUGUAUCAAUAGGAGAUGAUGCCAUUGAUCAUAGAAAAAUGACCAAAUAUUUUUUGAAAAUAGGUAGAAAGAGAUUUAUUUGGGAAUAUUGUGUUUGUUGAGGAAUUGGGAAUGUGAAGAUGAGAGGAUUAUAAAGGAAAAAAUAAGUGGUGGACCUAAAGAAGAGGGGCAAGAGAAAAUUAUGGGAUUGUGUUUGUUGGAUAUAUUGCAAUAUAUUCUUUUUUUUUAGUAGUUUAUUAAUAGUUUAAAUUAAGUAUAUACUAUAAAUAACAUUAACAAUAAUUGUAGUAAUAAUAAUAUAUAACGCGUAAAUUUACAAAUGUUUGUAUUAGGAUAGAUUAUCUAUGGCUACGUAAUAUUUUUUGGGUGCCGCCCUUUCCUGAUCCUGUUAAAGCGGAAUGUUUUAUUCACUAUACUGCCAAGUCUAAUCUGUCUUCUCAGAAUUGAUGUCAUAAUGAAUUCUUUUCAUUUUCUUCAUAGGCGGUGCCUUAUUUCCCUAUUUGAUAUUUGGACGUAAGCUAUACUCUGCGAUGAGUCUAACAGACGUAUUGCCUUGCUUUGUCAUUUAAUCUCUUUUUCGGUGUGACUAGAAAUGCUCAGUAACAAUCUCUCAAUUAUCAUAGUUGAGGCUCUCUUGGUACUAGGUUUAAUUAUUUAUUUAUUUUUUAUUAUUAUGAAUGGGUCAACGUUGAUUAAUGUUUGUUUUUUUCUUUUGUUUUUUUGGAAGUGUAUGGCCAUUUGUCACCGACAGAAUAUUUUGCGUACGUACAGUUAAUAUAAUGGGAUUGCAGUCUUAUUGUUUAGAUCUUAGUUUAGUUCACAUAAUCUCAGAAAAAAAAUUAAUACUGGAAUAAAUUAUUCCGUAAUUUAUUUUAAUCAAUCAUGCAAUAGCUAAAAACAUAUAUUACUGAAUUUGUUAUACAUAUUACUGAGUCAAGUAUCUAAGUUAUUGAAUUUUAUUGAAUUCGUAAAUAAAAUUCUAGUUACGAUAUUUCAUGUACCACAUGAAAGAAAACAGAUAAGCUCUAGAGUUUUCUUAAAUGUAGAAAUGACAGGUCUUAAAUUUGUGUCUUUUUUUGAAGGGUACCCAUGAGGGGACACCCUUAUCUAGGUUUAGCACAUGUAAUAGGAAACUUCCUACAUCUUUCUUAUUAAUUGGGCCAAUGAUACCGACGUGAGUUGUGGUGCUGUGGUGAGACUGAUUCAUCCUUAAUUAAAGAGUUCGAGUUCGAGUUCGAGUUCAAGUUCGAGUCAUAGAUAUGAAAAAAAUCAUAUUGAGAGCGCCACAUCCGAAUGGCGAAUGGACCUUAUGAUAUGCAAUCUGCAUUUAGUCGGAAUUCUAAUACAGACUCCGAAUAUCGAGCGAAAAACCAAAAAUAAAUAAAUUGGGCAAAUGGUCUCUAUUUCUUCUUUUCACAACAAUAAAUAGUGAACAUGCAUGUUGAUAUUGACUUUUUAAGGAUUUAUCCUUUGAAUUUUUUUAAUUUUUUAUCUGUGUGGGUGACAAUGUACCCUACUAUAUUGAGAAUUGAAAGGCACCCUUGUUCUUUAAUGUGCAAGUGGGUACUAAUGCGUGUCAAGACUCUAAACCACAUUCUCACUUGAGGAUAUGACUUUCAGGAGAGUCUAAAUUUUAUAUUUUUUAAAUGAAAUUUAUUAUAAUAUUUACGAUAUUUUAGUUUAAAAUUAGUAAUUGAAAACAACUAAAUCUUAAAUUUAAACUUCAAAAUAAUAAUUCUGAAGUCCGACCUCUGCUAAUAAUCAAUGAAGUUGAGUGAAGAAACAUGGAGGUUGAACAAGUUCUUAUAACUCCAUCAAAGUUGAAAAGCACUAGGUAAUAUUUUUCUUCCUUUCAAAGUUUGGUGGAUAGAUUAAAUUACGCGAUAUGUGUACUGAUGAAAAAUAUAGAAGAUACAUUAUUUAGUAACUUCGAUAAAUUAUGGCUUCCUCAACUAGAAAGCUCCCAAGGCCAAUGAACGGCUUUCGAUCGACUUUUUCAUUAAUUCAAUUUGGCGUGGUCAUGUUGUAUUAAAAUAAUUUUCAAACUUGAUGAUUAAUUUACUUGCUUCUUCUAAAAAUACGCUUUGGAUAAUCCUAUAUACAUCCUCGAAGCACUUUUAUAUUUUCAACUGUCAGAGGGUAAAUAAAGAUGUUGUCCCUCUUUUCUCGAGGUUCGUCCAUUCUUCCUCUUGAAGUCUAACUAAAGUCGAAUUUAAAUCGAAAAAUUCCGAAGAGUAAAGAGUGAAACUAGAAUUAUCACACAAAUUUGUCGGUAGAGACUAAUCCAAAAGGGAACUUUCAUUGCAUAUUGUUAUUGUAAUUUCAAGUACUUUUGGGGCUUAAGUGUCAUUUAACUAAACUUUAGCUCCUUGACCGACAUGUUUAUAAAUGUAGACAGAUACAGUCCUCCUAAUUUUAUUUUUGUCCUCUUUUGGUCCCAAUGUCAACUUUGUUCAUUAAUUUUGUGGUCCUUUUAAUUUUAAUUUUUAUCAAUAAUAGCACUCAAAUUGGAUUAAUUAAUUAAAUCCUUUUUAUGUCAUCACAUUGUUGAAACAUUAAUUUAAUCAUUUGAUGUUAUAUUACAUUGCUGGUAUAUUAGUUUAUCAAUAUAUAGUUUGAUUCAUUUAUAUUGAUCCAUGUGAAAUCUUGACUUCCUGUAGUACGUACUUCUAAUUUGAUACUUUAUACAAAAUUGAGUGGACCUUUGUGAUAUUAAUGAAACUUUAGGUUUCAAAGUGUAAUAUUAUAUUUCAAGAAUUAUAGUGAGAAAUAGACCAAUGACAUAUACAUAAUUGAAAGAACAAUGAUUGAAAUGGUCAUAUUGUUGACUAUUGGGAACAAUUUGUUGAAAUUUUAGGACUCAAUUAUUAGUUUGUUAAGAUAUUUUUCUAUUACUUUAAUUUCCUUCAUAUGUCAUGACAAAAGUUGUUGACUUUGGUAUGAUCGGAUCAAUUUGAAUGCAUCUUGAUGAUGAAUUUAUUGAGAUAAACUAUAUUAAUGAUUCUAUUGGAUAAAAUCUAAGCAAAUAAAAAGAAUUCACUAUUUAAUUUAUUAUUACCUUUAUUGUAAUUUGAACUCAGUCUGGUACGAUUCAUUCCAACUUCAUUAAUUGGUAACCAUCAUAGGUGAAGUUAAAGGACCGCAAUCUAAACUCCUUUUGUUAGAAAAUAAUAAUAUACAUAUACGAUCAACCAUAUCUUUUAUGUAUAUAUAAUUACUAUUGAAGUUGUUUGAAUUCUUUGUAAUUUACUUUUCUUUAUAUUUUGAAUAUUUUAAUUAAAAAUUUGAUUCCGCAACCAUCGAUAUUAUAUGUAAUGUAAUGUUUCUCUUUGUAUAUAUACAAAGUAACACUCCAUGUUCUUUUUGCAUCAUUUUCAUUAACAUCUACAUGUGAGAAAUUCAAAAGCUCAUGAUUAGAGAGAAAACAAUAAUUAAAAGUAAACAUUUUGAGUAUGAUUGUGAUGAAGAAAAUUGUAACUAUAAUAAGGAGCUUCAAGAGGCAAGUGUAUCUAAUAUCUCUUGAAAAAUCUUAUAUCGAAAUCGUUUGACUUAACUCUAUUCAAAUAUUGUUGAAAGAUCGAGCAACAUCAUUUUAAAUUUCACCUGAAUUGAUCAAAUUAUAUGUUUCUUUUUACUUUUUCGUGAAGGAUUAGAUUCAGUACUAAGGAAAAACCCUUGAAAACUCACUUGAUAACUUAUGUUAUUUUUCAUGUAUUUUUGGAUCCUUUGGCUAUCGACGAUAUAUAUAUUUGACAAUAGUUACAAAUUACCAUAUGCAACAUUUGCUUCAUUAGUUCCAACGGUGGUAGCUGCGAAAUCUAUUAUUGAGUUAAGUAUUUUCAUUAUUACUUUCUGAGUCCGAGGAACUAUUGUUGUAAUAUCUAUUAAUAUCAUUUUUUUAAAUUUAAUUUAAUCUAAGUAUAUUUGUUAAUUCUCCUACUGUUAUAUAUAUCAAAUAAUUUCCACUCAUUUUUUAGAAAAGAAGUUUGUUAUGGUAGUGAGUAGUGACCAUAGAAACUAAAGGCCCACGGCACAUGCUAAGGCUUUCAUAAGUCAAAUUUCAAUUGCUAUCAACGAAACUCGUUUGGUUCGUGGAUAAAAUUAUAUCUAAAUUACAAUAUUGAAAUAUAAUUUCAGAAUUAAUUUAUUUCAUCUGAAAGGUGAAAUACAAUAAUAUUAAAGUUGAAUGGAAUAAGAUGAGAUGUUUCAGAAUUAGGAUUGCGAUAAAAUUUAUAUUCAAUUUGUAGGAUCAACUUGUUUAACUAUAUGCUAGAUCACUAAGUGAUGAAAACGUGAAAACAAAGUUUGGUUUAGUACACCUUCAAUCAAACAUAAUAUAAUUUUAAUCUCCGAGUUAAAUCAUAAGAUAUCUAACCUUAUCUUGUACUUGCAUCGAAAUACAUGUGAUACUGGUUUUAUAAUCAUGCAUAAUAAAGAUGAACGAACUCAUGAUGUGGAAUAUCAAGUUAAGGAGGAACUGGCACGACUCAUGUUUGGUUGGUUAAAAUUUUUGAUUUUUUUUUCUUCAGGAAAACAAGUUUCUUAAGAAUUAGAAAAACGAGUUCAUGUUUGAAUAGUAGUAACCAAAGAGGGAGAGGCAAACUACAUACUUCUUUCAAGACAAGAUUCAAUCACUAACCUAAAAUUACAAAGUACAGAGUAACAAGGCAUGAUACUUAUUUUUUUUCUUCUCAGAAAAUGAAUUUCAACAACCAAACAAGAUGAACAAAAACUAAAAAAAAGGCAUGAGUAGACGUAGCGCGAAGUGUGAGUUUAGUCCUUGUACUUCAUUUCAGACAUUUUGAAUCCAGGCAUGUCGAAAGAGGAGGCAAAUUUCUCGACAUCUACUUUGAGUUCUUCGAUUUCCUUGUUAUUAACAAGUCCCUUGUUGAAGUCCUUCAAAAGCUUUCCAUGUUCUUUCUGGAUGUUCAAGGUGAUUGUCACAGCCCUAUGAAGGAACUCACCAAUCUGUUCAAAGUCCUUCUCAAGCAAACCCCUCGAUGUCAUGGCGGGAGUACCUACAUAAAGAAACCCCGUUAGUCACUAUCCUACUAUGGAUAUAGUCUCGAAGGAGAACCUUGGAGCAACAGUAAGAGUUGUGAUGUGAUCAGGAGGAGGUCAUGGACGAUUUUGAGAAUGAAGCCUUACUGAUCUAUUGCUUAAUAGUAACAACCAACAAAAAAGAUGAGCUCUUACCGAUACGAACACCUCCAGGGGCCAAAGCACUGCUGUCACCAAAUACAGCAUUCUUGUUAACAGUAAUGUUGGCAAGGUCACAAAGCUUCUCCACCUUGUUACCUGAAAAAAUGUCAAAACAGAUACAUUUAUGUCAUUCACUAGUAAUGCUUAGAGUACUCGAGACUCCAAAAGAGCGAGUGUACUUUGAUCUUCUUACCAGUCAAACCGAGAGGACGAAGAUCCCAAAGAACAAGAUGGUUCUCAGUUCCGCUAGUGACAAGCUUGUAUUCUUUACUCAUCAAAAACUUGCCAAGAGCAACAGCAUUGGCCUUAACUUGCUUAGCAUAGGCCUUAAAACCGGGAGUCAUGGACUGUUUCAGAGCGACAGCUAAAGCACCGAUUUGGUGGUUGUGAGGACCACCCUGGAGAGAGGGGAAAACCGAAAAAUUAAUCUUGUCUUCAAAGUCGUAUACUGCAUCCUCAGGCUGGCCCUUCUUAGGUGGCUUAGGACCCUUGCGGUAGAAGAUCAUACCUGCUCGUGGACCUCUUAAGCUCUUGUGGGUAGUGGUAGUGACCAAAUCACAGUAUUCAAAGGGAUUUGCUGCUUCCUGUAUCCACAAACAAUGAGUUUCAACACACUCUAACAAAAACACAGUCCCGGAAUUCCAAAUUCACAACUCAAAACGCGGUGUAUAUAACAAAUGCAAAUCAUUAUAAAUCAGAUUCUAGUAUAUACUACUUAUGUGAAGACAACUGACGUUGUAAUUCACCGUUAAGCUUCAUGAUAAUCAUGCGAAACAAAGCAUUGAUAGAACCACAAACUCAGCUAAUAACCAAUUUCAACACUAACUCAUGUAUCACAAAGCAUAAAAACCAGAUCACCAAGACAUCCAAAUUGUGCAAAUUUGGUCAACCAAAUCCAUAUCAUCAUGAUCUAAUAUUUCGAAAAAUUACUAUUCCCAAUGUUUCAAUUUGUUUGUCUUACAAAAAGAAUGUUUCUUAUACGUAUGUUUAGUUUAAUACCACGAGAUUCAAAAGUCUUCAUUAGACUCUUAAACUACGUGUCAAGUCAAAAUUAGAAAUACAAAUUGAAACAUUAAAAAGAACUAGCAUGGAAACAAAAAAGGGGGUGUGUCUAGAUCACAAUGCAGCAAAAAUUAGCAUGGAAACAAAACUAGCUAGGAUCGACUAUAUGAAUCAAAAUGGCUACAUAUCUUUAGUUCAAAACCACCAGAUUCAAAAGCUUCGUUAAUUUCUUAAACUACGUGUCAAGUAAAAAUCAGACAAACAAACUGAAACAUUAAAAAUAACUAGCAUGGAAACAAAAAAGGGGUGUGUCUUGAUCACAAUGCAACAAAAAUUGGCAUGGAAACAAAACUAGCCGGGAUCGACUAGAUGAAUCAAAAUGACUACAUAUCUUUAGUUCAAGACCACGAAAUUCAAAAGCUUUGUUAAUUUCUUAAACUACGUGCCAAGUCAGAACAAGACAAACAAACUAAAACAUUUGAUCAUAAAUUGCAUGGAAACAAAAAUGGGGUGUGCCUAGAUCACAAUGCAACAAAAAAUAGCAUGGAAACAAAACUAGUUGGGAUCGACUAAACGAAUCAAAAUGACAGCCAAAUCUACCUCUAAACCAAUUCAGAAUCAAAAUAUGACAUAAAAAUACAAUCUUUAAAGCACUCAACGUAUUGCCUAGUGGCCAAUGAAGUGGUCGAGAGCAUGCAUGAGACCCUCAUGUACAAUUAACACUAGGCGAUUCUUCCCAUUAGUCGAAAUACCGCCAAAGCUGACCCCAACACCACGAUCAUAAACAAAAAAAACUACAAUCUUUAAAACAGAAAUCCAUCAAAAAGUUAUACCUGAGCAGCAACAAGUCCACUAAUAUGAGCCAUAUCACAAAGCAAAAGAGCUCCACAUUUAUCAGCAACUUCUCUAAAUCUCUUAUAAUCCCAAUCUCUAGGAUAAGCACUCCCUCCACAAAUAAGCAAUUUAGGUCUAAAAUCCAUUGCUUUCUCUUCCAAUCUAUCAUAAUCAAUAUAUCCAGUUGUAAAAUCCAGCUUAUAAGGCAAACUCUCAAAGUAAAUCGAAGUAGCAGAAACCUUUUUCCCACCAGAUGUAUAAUACCCAUGUGUUAAAUGCCCUCCUGACGGCAAAUCUAAACCCAUAAUCCUAUCAUGGGGGUUUAAAACUGCUGUAUACGCAGCGAAAUUAGCUGGGCUACCUGAAUAUGGCUGAACAUUAACACCCCAUUUCGUUGGAUCUAAGUGAAAUGCUUGUAAUGCUCGACUUCUAGUGAGAUUUUCGAUUUGGUCAAUGUAUUCGUUUCCACCGUAAUAACGGUUUCCCGGUAUACCCUCUGAGUAUUUGUUGGUUAAGGCACUGCCUAGAGCUUCAAUUACGGCGAAUGAAGUGAAGUUUUCUGAUGCAAUGAGUUCGAUACCGCGACAUUGACGACGUUUUUCUUUUUCUAUGAGGUCGAAGAUUUCUGGGUCUGUUGUGUUAAGGGGUUCAUUGCCCCAUACUGAAACUGGAUCCAUUUUUGACGAAAAUUUGAGGAAUUUUGAAGAGGAAAAAACAGAGGAAAACAGAGUGAGAGAGGGUGAAAAACAGGGGAAGUGAAGAAAUGGAGGGGGAGUUUUUAAAGAGAUGAGUUUAUGUGAAUUGACAAUAAUACCCUUUUGUUUUUUUUUAAAAAAAUUUUAAAAAAAUAUAUUCUUAUUUUUUUUGGAAAAAAAUAAUUAAAAGUUUGUUGAGGAUGUUUGGUAAAGCUAAUUUUUGGGGAGUUGGUGAAAUUUGAGGGUUAGGAAGUGAUAUGUAUUUUGGUGGUUGAAAUUUAUUGUUUGUAUUUGAUAAUUUAAGUGAAUUUAUGUUAAAGUUAAGUAGGCUAAAUAUAACUCCUUAAAUUUGGUAUAAUUUAUAAGUUAGAUAUUCUAACUUAGCUAGUGAGUAGAUAGAUAUCGGUUGAGUUUAAUAUUUGGAUUGAAUAUAUAUAAAGAGAAAAUUUAAGUUGUGAUAUCUCUCUUACAUUGAUAAUACCGAAACAAUUGGUAGUUGGCUAAUGUUGCGUAUCUUGGUUUAGUCUAAUUUUGAAAUCGUUACAAAAUUGUUAAUAUAUCGAAUAUCAUGUAAUAAGUUAUUGAUCGCUAACAAGUUGGUUAUUGAUUUAAUCAUUAGUUACGGGAAAAAAAAUUCAAAACUAAGCUUCAGAAAGUUACCAACAAGCAUAAACUAUACUCCCUUGUUCGAUUUUACUUGUUACAUUUCAUUUUUCAAGAACAAACUGCAUGAGUUUUGAUCAACGUUAAAACGAAAAUUUUCAUCCUAUCAAUAUGAAAAUGAUUGCAACUUGUAUAAUUUUUCGAUUCAAAUUAUCGAUUUUACUCUAAAUAUGCACACCCCUAAAUGUUGUCAUGAAUUCAUAAUGCACAACAUGCCAUUUUCAAAGUUAGUAAGAAUUCAACUCCUUCUGAGUGCAAAAUUGUCUUUGUUAAGGACCGUUUUACUUUUCAAUGUGAUACUUUUUAACACGAAUUUAAAUUUAAUCAGACUCUCAUAUAAAUACCGAAUACUAAAUAGGAAAAAAAAAGUUGGUAAGAAUUUAGUAGGUUGAUCUAAGUGUUAAUUAUGACCCCACUUGGGACUAGGGAAUAGUUGGUGUAUGCCUUGUUGAGCACGAUGGUCAUUUUUAAAUCUAACUUACCAACCAAAGUCUACCACAAACACACCUUAUAGUAAGCGGAAUCAGAAUAUAAGGUUAAUAUAUUUAAAAUUUUACGAUAACCAUAACAUAUUUAAUAUAGUUCACAAGUGGAGUCUACAAAUAGUGUUAUCCUAUGAAAGCAAAAAAUUAUUUUUAAUAGACCCUCAACUCGAAUAAACAGGAUUCACAAUUUGAAUCCUAUAAACAAUAUUAGUUUCUAAUUAAUAAUUUAUUCAUAUUUAAGUGAACAAAAUAUUGGAUUGUUUGUUUUAUCUAAUCGUAAUGUGAGUAAAAAAUAACAAAAACAAAAAAGGGAUAACAAAAACACUUUUUGGACCUCCUUUCAAGAGAACAUAGGAAAAUGUUAGAUUGUAUAUUUUGUCCUUUUGGAAAAAGUAGCAAUAGAAUAUUGGACCAAAAAUUGUUGUUAUUAGCUUUACUAUAAUUAGUUAGAAUAGAACCAUGAUGAAUCCAUGAUGUCAACAUGUCUCUUUUUGACUUGGUGAGAUCUUGUUAACUAGGGUAGUUGGGUUUUGUGCCUUUGCAUGGAGCAAAACAAUUUACUCAGAUAUUUAUAAUUUUUUAAAAAUAAUCUAUCUACUUUUCAUGAGAUAUUGAUGAAAUCUGCUUAUAUCAUUAUCCUCAAACUUCACUUAGUGAAAUUUUACUAAAUAUAUUAUUGUUAUUAUUUCAAGACUGUGUUCACUCAAUGUAUAUAUCAAAUAUUACAUUGUGUUGUAUGUGAGUGGUGCAAACAAAAACCUAAUAUUUGAAUAGAGAAUGAUAAAUAAAUAAAAAGACAGUUAUAUCACAAUAGUUUUGAAUCGUGCAAAAAAAAAUCUCGAAACUAUACCAAAUUUCAAUAUUUUAUCAUAAGUAAAGUAUAUUUGCUCUAUUAAAAAGUAUUAAAGUAUAAUAAAUUUUUAUUUAUACUCUAUAUUUAUAUCAAACGUUACAAUAUAUAUGUGGUAUUUUUUUUGUACAUAGACCAUAGUUAAUUUCAUUUAAUAUUUAGUUAUAAUAAAUUAAUUUAAUAUAUUUGAUGACAUAUUAGUGUAAUUUUAUAAGUAGGUAUGUAUUGGGGAAUGAAAAUCGUAUGGCCACGUAUUUAGAGCAUAACAACUAACAACAACCAAAACAUAUAUUUUUGUAUAUAUUCUAUGUGUUGUCAUGCACGAGUUCAUCACUAACUUCCCAUUCGAUUAAAUCUGAAUUUUUAUCAAUUUUUUUUAUAUAAAAGGUAAAAUAUUUUAUAACGAAGACGAUUUCAUAUUAUCUUUAUUCUUCUGUUGAAGAUAAAAUGUUUCAUAACAAAGACAAUCUCAUAUUAUUUGUUACAUUCUUAUGAAGUUAUAUAUUUUCUAUACAUAUAUAAGACAAUGUUGUUGAUCAAUGUCAAUUUCAUCUACCUAAUCAAUGUUUGGUUAAAAGAUUAAAAAAAUAUAGCAUUUGACUUUGAAUUCCUUUCUUGGUUGGUGAAGGUCUAUAGGACUACUAGUUCAUUACAAAAAUACUCCCAUUUUUCAAUAUUUAAUUUGUUCUCAUAACAAAGAUCAAGAUUCAAGAAAUAUGGUGAGAUGAAUAAUAUUUAAGUAUCUUGAGUUAAAAUUUAAAAAAUAAAAUAUUCUGAUAUAAAUUACUUUUCUCUUAGCAGAUGUUAUAUAACAUGAAUUCAAAUUAAUAAAUUUAGCAAUUAUCCAAAAUCGUCUAGCUAUAAAAAUAAAUAAAUAAAUAAAUAUUGUUGUAAAUGCAUGAAACUGUGAACGUGAAGUUAAGUAGUUAACAUCUAGUACAAUCUUAUUCUACCCACCAACUCUUCCAAAAAAAAGUUUUUUAAAUAAAAAAAAUAUAAUCUUGUCCUCCACGAAAUAUUGGUGAUGAAUAUAUUAUGUGCAAAUAUAUGAAAGUGAUUGGUUAAAAAAAAUCAAAAGUUUCAAAUAUGCAGUGGAGUCAUAAUUUUCAUUAAGGGUGUCAGAAGUAUAAAUAAUAAAACACACAAAAAGGUCAAAGAAGGUUCAACAUCUACUAUAUAUACAUAAAAAUUAUUUCAAUCAUGUAUAAACUAUGUAAUUUUCCAUCGAAAGCGGUUCAGAUGAACCUUUCGACCCUAACUAACUCCGCCAUUGUCAACCAUAAAAAACUACUCUUUAUGCACUAUUUUUCCAUUGUCCAAUCAGGGACCAACUUUGUACCUAACUAAUUAUGUUAAUUUGACCAAAAUAAAUUAAUUUAGGGGGAUUGGUUGGAAGUAUCAUCAAUUGUGUGGAAAAAAUAACCUAAAAACUUAAAGUUAGAGUAAAGUAAUCCAUAAUCUUUUAUAAUUUUCGAUGAUAAUGUACUCUACACGAAUAUAAACUGAUCAAUAUUUAAAAUUUAUGAAUUCUUACGACAAAAUACAAGUUAUUAUUAGUAAUAUAUAAUAGUCUUUGAGUUUAUAGUCUAAUAUAUAUACUUCAUAGUACACAAUCCUCUCGUAAACAAAUAAGUAUGGUUAGUUAUGAAUACUCUAUCAUUCUUAAUUAAAUGUUUCGAAUUUAAGUUUUAAAUAUGAUCGCAUGGAAUUGUUUAUGUUAGAAAGCACUCAAUCUCUAACGUUAAACUUUUCGACGUGAAUGAAAAUUUAAUUAGUCAGGAGGCAAUCAUGCUUUCUAUAGUAUUUUGCUAUGAUUUCUUCACUAUCGUUAUUUUUUUUCUAUUCUGCUUUGAUAUAUUUUUUCUUGAGUCAAAGGUCUAUCGAAGCAACUUAUCUACCUACUAAAGUAAGGUAAGGUAUGCUUAUACUCCAUCUUUUUCCAACUCCACUCGUAGAAUUACACUAUGAGUAUGUUGUUAGAUCUUAGUAUGACUAUCAAAUACCGAAUGAGAAACAAAACAUGAAAAAAGGUUUGUUUGUUUGUUUUUUUCCAACAAAACUCUAAUUAUUCUCCAUUAUUUAUGGUUUACCUUACCAAUUACCAAUAUAAAAAAAAAAUUUGCAAAUAAUUCCUACCAUUCAUUUUUACCAAAAAUCCCACAAUUUAGCAAUCUAAAAAUAUGAUCAAACAAAUCCUAGCCGUCCAUUUUCCAUUCUUCAUCUCUAUAUAAAUCACUCAAACUCCAUUUCAUUCCUCUGUCCCACUCUUCUUCUUCUUCCCAAAAAACUUCAAAAUUCUCUCAAUUUUUCACAUUUUCCACUUUACUCUCUCUACCCAUGGCGUUAAUCGUCGAGAAAACCACCUCGGGCCGCGAGUACAAGGUCAAGGACAUGUCCCAGGCCGAUUUCGGCCGCCUCGAAAUCGAGCUAGCCGAAGUCGAAAUGCCUGGAUUAAUGGCUUGUCGUACUGAAUUCGGUCCAUCACAGCCAUUCAAAGGUGCAAAAAUCACCGGAAGUUUACACAUGACGAUCCAAACCGCUGUCCUAAUCGAAACUCUCACUGCAUUGGGUGCUGAAGUUCGAUGGUGUUCCUGCAACAUUUUCUCAACGCAAGAUCACGCGGCUGCUGCGACAGCGCGUGACAGCGCCGCCGUUUUCGCGUGGAAAGGGGAAACAUUGCAGGAGUAUUGGUGGUGUACGGAGAGGGCACUUGAUUGGGGUCCAGGUGGUGGACCCGAUCUGAUUGUUGAUGAUGGUGGUGAUGCUACAUUGUUGAUUCAUGAAGGUGUUAAAGCUGAAGAGGAAUACGCGAAAACUGGUAAAUUUCCAGAUCCUCAUUCUACUGAUAAUGUUGAAUUUCAGCUUGUGCUUACUAUUAUUAAGGAUGGGUUGAAAAGCGAUCCGUUAAAGUAUACGAAGAUGAAGGAGAGACUUGUUGGUGUUUCGGAAGAAACUACUACUGGUGUUAAGAGAUUGUAUCAGAUGCAGGCUAAUGGAACUUUGCUUUUCCCUGCUAUUAAUGUUAAUGACUCUGUCACCAAGAGCAAGGUAUCUUUUUGUGCUCCGAUUAUUGCAUUAUUUCGUUAUCGUUACUGUUUGUGUAAUGCUCUCUGUUUCACAUUAUUUCGUCGUUGUCCACCUCUUUCAAAUUGUUUACUUAUGCUGAGGGUCUAUUGGUAACAACCUCCCCAUCGAGGUAGAUCACAUACACCCUUUUGUCUCGGAAAUUUACAUUGUGUAGCUAGGUAAUAGUAUAUAUUACAUAUUGACACUGUUGACUUGUACGCGAUUUUACUUUUUUAUAUUUUGACAUCGAAAUUCUAGCUCCGUUCGUUGAGUCUACCCUACUAGACCUCACUCGUGGGAUUAUACUUAGCAUGUUGUUGUUGACUUUUCUUUGUUGAGGUUCAACAUUAAAUCUAUAGUUAUUGUUGAAUUUGAGUCUUGAUCUAUAGGUUCAUGUUUAGUUGUAUCUUUAACUCAUUUGAUAUGUGGGAGAAAUAAACAUUCAUCAUUUUCUUGAGGUAAAUUUGAUAUUCCUCUUAUUUUAUAGCUUAAAGUGAACAUUUUUCCAAUCAUAGAAUUCUAAUUUUCUGUUAUAGUUUUGAAUUAUCACAUCAAGCUAAUUGACUUGAUGAAUUUUUUUGUCUUGGUGUGUACUCAAGUUUGACAACUUGUAUGGAUGUCGCCACUCACUGCCCGAUGGACUCAUGAGGGCUACUGAUGUUAUGAUUGCUGGGAAGGUUGCCCUUAUUGCCGGUUAUGGUGAUGUUGGCAAGGGUUGUGCUGCUGCAAUGAAGCAAGCAGGUGCGCGUGUGAUUGUGACUGAGAUUGACCCAAUCUGUGCUCUCCAGGCUACUAUGGAAGGUCUCCAGGUUCUUCCUCUCGAGGAUGUUGUUUCCGAAAUUGAUAUCUUUGUUACCACAACUGGUAACAAGGAUAUCAUCAUGGUUGACCACAUGAGGAAGAUGAAGAACAAUGCCAUUGUCUGCAACAUUGGCCACUUUGACAAUGAAAUCGACAUGCUUGGUCUUGAGACCUACCCUGGAGUGAAGAGAAUCACAAUCAAGCCUCAAACUGACAGAUGGGUCUUCCCCGACACCAAGAGUGGCAUCAUUGUCUUAGCUGAGGGUCGUCUCAUGAACUUGGGAUGCGCUACUGGACACCCCAGUUUUGUCAUGUCGUGCUCUUUCACUAACCAAGUCAUUGCUCAGCUUGAGUUGUGGAAGGAGAAGGCAAGUGGCAAGUAUGAGAAGAAGGUGUACGUCUUGCCAAAGCACCUCGAUGAGAAGGUUGCUGCCCUUCAUCUCGGACAGCUCGGAGUCAAGCUCACUAAGCUCUCCAAGGACCAAGCUGAUUACAUUAGUGUACCAGUUGAGGGUCCUUACAAGCCUGCUCACUACAGGUACUAAGGAGAAAGACAAAGUGAGACUGGAAAAACACACAAUCUUAUAGCAUGAUGUUUUCUCUUUUUAUGCUUUGAUUCUGUUUUCCUUUGGUUUUUGUUUAUGUUUUUCUUUGAGGAUAUUGAAGUAACAUUUCUAGUUUUUAUCCAUUCAAAUUGUAGCGCUAGCGUUUGACUAUACAUUUUGAAAGUUCAUCCUCAAAUAUCUGUUAGGAUCUUCAACUAUUUUCAAGUGUGCUUUCAGGACUUCCACUUUCAAAACUUCAAAAAAAUUUCAAAUAAAAUGCAUGUCCAAGUAUAACUUCAAAUUCCAAAAAUCACAACGUCAAAGCCUCAAAUUUUCAAAUUUCAACUUCAAAAUUGGCCAAACGGGAGCUAAAAUCAAUUGCUCUGAGGUGUUAUACCAUGUGUUAUAGUGUUUGUACUUUGGUGGGUUAAAAUUGUUCUUACAUCAUCACUUCCUUUAAUUCUUAGUUUUGCAAAAGAUAAGUCAAAUCUUGUUUCUCUAGAAAAGAGAAAAUUAUACUAGCUUUCGAUGCUAAGCAAGUCGCGCUUUAUGCUAAGGACGUGGAUUGAUCAUUGACGAUUCUUGUAAAUGUAAUAGAAGAGUCAGAGUCGAGUUCCCCUCCCUUCUCGACUAAGGAUAACAAGAUAUUGGAAUAAAAGGGGAAAUUUACUUUAUAUCCACUUUCUUUACCCUUGGCUAAAAUAAAAGAAAAGAAAUAUUUUAAAUUUUCCUUUUACCUUAUCAUAUACUAUUAAUAGGUACCUUAUGAUAAAAUCUAGAUAUCAUGGAUGUGAAAAACAUUUUACAUUAAUUAGGUCUACUAGUUUCUUUUUCUACUUUCCACCAAUCCAAAUAGAGCUAUGUCAGUAUAGAUAUUAAUAAUUCCUCUACUAGUAUGCAUGCAUUUAUUCUGCUAAUUAAUGUAUAUGAAUAUAGUACUACUACUAUUAUAACUUUUCUGGAUAAAGUAAAAAAAAUGAAAUUAUUUCCUCUGUAGAUUCAAAAUUUACUGCAAAGAUUCCCCGCUGAAUUAUUCAUCGGAUAACUGUUACCUCCCACAAACACAUGUACCAGUAACUCUACCCGCCACGGUUUAGGGGGUGCAAGGAAAUCACCUAGUACGUUUUGUCUCCGCUGAGUUUCGAGAUAUAGUAACUAGUUGGUCCACUGAAUAAAGAACUAUUAUUUUGUGAGACAUAUCAGGAAAAAAGAAGAAGAUGAUCUACUUCUGUCUGUUGGUGUUAGUAUGAAUAGUUUAUGCUUCAAAUACUUUGUCUCUAUUUAAAAAUUAAACAAAAUAACUCCAACCAGAUGGGAAUAUAAAGUUAAAGAAAUCCAGUAUAAGGGUGGCAAGCGGGCAGGGCCGGGACAAGCCCAACCCACCCAGCCACUCCGGGCCAGUGUGCCGGGCUCCCUUAGGGGGCUGGGUUGAAUCAGAAGAGGACCUUUAUCUAACAUAUUGCAGCAAGUGCAUUGUAUAUUUCAACCUUUCCACAUUUCUGGUACAUCAAACAAGCAAAUCUUUACCAGAGUUUACACAAAUAAAGACGAUUCGUUCCAAGAAAAAGGAAUGUCUUCACAGCGCGUGGAUGUAACAAGAACUCCUUACAUAGCCGAGAAGACUAGAUGAGUUGAAGCAAUGAAGAAACUACACUUUCUAAAAAACCAUCUGUUUUAUGCAUGAUAACGACAACUGCAAAGCUUUCUUGACAUCUUUUAGCAAAGAUAGAUAGACAUUAGUUCUGUAUCAUCAAUACUGACAAUUGACAUAGAAAGUGGAAACUAGUAGAUAAUUCUGCAAAAAUGAAGGAUAUCAGCUUCCUAAUGGUUGAAGGUAAAGCUAAUGAACUGAAUAUUGCAGGAAACUACUCAAGCCUCAACUAAUUCUUUUAGGAUGAUCAUAAAGGUUUGUUAUUUUUCCAGUAGUGCAAAUCUUCUUAAUGUUUCUUUGAUCAGUCGUGCUGAUAAUACACCUACAGAAACCAGCAAAUGCCGCCACCCUCCCCAGCUCCAAAAGAUUAUAAUGAAAGAAGAGAAACCAUAUAUAGAAGAACCAUCCUCAUUGAAGGAUUAUUUCUUGUCAUUAUUGGACUACUACUGAUCUUUCCUAAGCACCAUGUUAAUCUCUUUUCUAGUAUUUUCUUCCUUAGUUUUCAUUCACACAGGUGCUUCGCUCUGCGCUCCCUGCACACCUCCCCUUUCUAAAAUGUUACUCAAGAAAGUCUUAUACGGCAUCCACUUCACGUCAUUUCCACAAAAUACGUACUCCAUAGACAAGCACCCAAACCAAUAGAGGAUACACAAUAGCCUUACCUUCUUGACUAUUAGCAUUCCCCAAAAUUCUACCCGUUGGCCUCUCAGUAUACAUCUAAAGUAUAUUAGAGACAAAUCACUUACUCGAAAAUUGACGCAUCAGAGACAUACGGACAUGGCAUUCUCCUAGACACAAUGCUAAACCUCUCUUUAUAUCAUAGCCUAAAAACAUUCAAACUGAUGUGGAAGUUUGUAAUGGAAGCUCAACAUCAUAAUAAUACAUAAAGAAUCAUCUUUUGUUUCUCAAAAGAGCGGUAGAAAAGAUAUAAGACUCUGCUCAACACAAAUUUGCACGUAACACACAACAGAAAUCAUCGUAUCGUUAACAAAUGGAAGUCAAUCUUGUGGAUCAAACGAAAUUACAAAGAAUACUAAAUGUGUGAAAGAUCAGAACUUGACUUUGCUUAAAGUUCCCCUGCUCGUAUGAUUAACAUCCAAAUAAAUUUGAGACCCUAAAUGCCUUACUGCUCCUUUUAGUAUCAUCCUCUAUACCAACAUUUCACUAUAACGGUAAAGUUCUUUCAAGAACCGAUUUUUCAUGCUAUGAACACAUUUCACUAUAGCAGCCAAAAAAUAUCCAGACAAAACAAUGCUUCAUAAUGCAUAGAAACAGAUUGGGAGCAUAAUAUACAUAGAACCAAAAAAAUAUAUUUAGCAACAUUGGUUACAUUAAUUUUUAUAUUAGUAUACAACAUUAGCAACAAAAAAACAACCACCCCCACAAGUCCCAAACAUAACUAAAUCAAUAUUCAAAAAAGCAGAAAUAGAACUUUUUUACCAAUUCCAUUGCAUAAAAUUUCUCAGCUAAAAAUUCAAGAUUUGAUGUCACUGACCUCCCUAGCACACCUUGUAAUAAUCUCACAUCCUCUGUUGUAAUUAUUAGCUGCACCAGGAGCUUUACAAUUAUAAUAUGAAGCACCAGGAGUAUUACAAGGCACCAAAUCCCUCUUCAAUGUACCAUAACUAAUGUACUUCUUUUGCAUAAGCAAAACCCUUCUAUUACUUUCAGAAUCCAUCAAAUCUUCUUCACCCACCAUUUCUGAGCAUUCUUGAAGCUUUUCUGAACAACCCCUUUUCCCCAUUAGGUUAAAGUUACUAUCUUUAACUGAUUUAAGGUCAAGAACUGAAACCCCAGAACAAAAUCUCAUCUGGGCAUGGCUGAAAAGAAGCAAGAAGAAGAGGGUCUUCAAUGGAUUGAAGUAAAGUUGGGAUUUUUGCAUUUUGUGAGUUUGAGGUUGAAUUUCUUGUAGCUUUUCUCCUGGUGUUGUCAUUUUUUUGUGAUUUUGGAUUUUGGGCUGUGAAAGUGAGAUUCCAGGGUGUGUGAAAUUUUGGAAAUUUUGGAACUAGUGAGGAGUCAUUAAUGGUGUAGGGAUCAUCCUAUUACAUACACCUACUUUGCUACUCAAUUGUCAUGGGAGGAUUGUGGGGGUGAGUAGUGAGAGUGACCCACCACCAUUCUUGAUUUUUUUUUUUUUGUUAUAGGUUUUCAUUUAGUGUGUGAUAUCGAUAUUGGAGUGUGAUUAAGUCGGAAAGUUAAUUUAUUGUUUAAUAAAGACAAUUUCAUAUUUGAAGCUCGAAUCUAAAAUCUCUAGUUAAGAGAAGAGAUAGUGGUCAAGACACACACGUGAAUUAUCACUUUUGAUCACAAGUUUCUCAGUUUAACUCUAAUCUCUUCUCUUUCCUAUCUGAACUAUCACCAGAUUGUUCCAUUUUCCUACUUGAACUAUCACCACCUAUGCAUUAACACACAUAUACAUGGUGAUCGCUCAAGUAAAUUAUUGUUUAAUAAUAAAUUGUAUAUCUAAAGCUGAAUUGAAAAUCUCUAGUUAAGAGUAGAGUGGAAAAACACACACCUAGAAUAUUAUUGUAUCGAGUUUCACACUCAAACUAGCCGUUGUUCUCUUUAUCUAUUUGAAUUAUCACCUGUUGUUUCAUUUUUCUAUCUGAACUAUGAUCACCUACGUAUUGAAACACACAUGAAUGAAUGGAUGGUGAUAGUUUAGAUAAGAAAAAGUAACAACUUAUAGUUGAAACGUGAAACUCAGGAAAAAACAAUAAUUCAAAUAUAUUUUUUAUCAUUAAAUCUUAAGAAUAAAAUACUUACGACUCUAUCACAACCGUGUUUGGCCAACAUGUAGAAACAAAAUUUUGCCACUAGCUUUUGCUUUAAGACAAGACUUUUGACUUUUGAAAUAUGAUAUACACAAAGUAAGUUGGAUCUAGGCUGGUCUCAAAAUCUCUGUGUUUAUAUCUUGGACUUGGGCUGGUUCCCAAUUCUUUAUGAAUAGUAUAUACUAGAAAAGGACAUAAAAGUUAUUUAUGUUUAAGGUUAGUUUAAACUAGUCCUUUUAAAUAUACAAUUAAGCUAUUUUAGUUCUUUAUAUUAUCAAAAUUGAACACUUUUGGUCAUUGUUUUAUUAGAAAAAACACAUGGUAGUACAUAUAUCUUUGAUGAAAUUGGCUCGUCGAAAGCACGUGAACAACAUACUCAGUGUGAUCUUACAAGUGAGUUUGGAGCCACAUGAGCUAUUUACAUGAAAUAAAAGUAGUGAAACUAAACGUCAACCAAUUCAUUCCUCAAUUGAACAUAUCGAUCAUAUACUUCCUUUUAACCCUCCAUUUGUAUGAGACAUCGAAUGAAUCAAUGCUAUACUCUGUUGAAAGUAAAGUUAAGAUGUAGUUUUCUUUAGUUUAAACAACUCACGUGCUUCUCAUGAGCUAAUUAUGUGACAUAUAUAUAACUAUGGUUGAGUUUUCGUAAAUAUAGCAAAGAAUAGAAGUACUUAAUUUCGAUAAAUAUAAAGGACUAAAACUGUUCGAAUUAGUGCAUUUUGAAGGACUAUUUUAGUCUCAAUUGUUAUCAAUUCAUUUUGCAUGGUGUGUGUAACUAUUGGUACACAAUCAAGUUCAUUAUUGGAAAAUCCAUUAAAUGGUUGGGGUGUGCUGUUUACAUAUGAUUAAUUUUUCAUGUGGGAAAAUUAGAGAAAAAAUUCAAUCACUAAUGAUUAUUCUGUUCAUUUUCAUCAAUGUCUAAUCGGAAACAACCUCUUUACUUUUUUUUUAAUGAAAGUAGGGAUAAUAAAUUUCAUAAGUGACAUCUAAAAUUCAUUGUUUUAUCGCCACUCACCUAACGUCCCCAAUAAUAUGUUUUUGGUUAUUUUUGGACUAUCAAAUUUGUGGUCCAAUAUUAAUUACCUUUUCAUUGAUAAGAUUAGUGGUCCAAAAACUUGAAUCUCAAGCAAAUUGAGAUUGCUAUUUUGGAUUUGAUGGUUAAAUGUCUAAUUAGGUUCUAUUAUUAAUUGUAUGUAUUUAUAUUGGUUGCAAUGAAAAAUGAGCAUGACCUUUUUUCCAUUUCAUGAGCAUAUAUCCUCUUAAAUGAAUUAAAAUUCUCUUUAAUUUGCCUAGUUAGGGAGUAACUGUGAGUCCGGAGUCUAAAAGGCAAAAAAUAUUGUCAAAAAUUCCAAAAGGGCACAUCACUUUUUAUCUAGCCAAAAGGGCAAAAUCGCUGCGUCAGCAGCGAUUUUCCUCUGACAAAAUGACGAAAUAGCAGCGAUUUCGUCUAAAAAAAAAAAUUAAUUAAAAAUCGCUGCCACAGUAGCGAUUUUGUAAAAAAAAAAAAAAAAUUAUUUUUUAUUUAAAAUCGCUGCUGUUUGUAAAAAAAAAUAAAAAUUUAAUUAAAAAUCGCUGCGAUUUUGUAAUUUUUUUUAAUUAAAGAUCGUUGCUUUUUCUUUAAAAAAAAACUAAAACGGCACAUCAAAAAAAAAAUUAACCAAAAGGGCUUCUGACAAAACAAAAACAAAAAUCGCUGCAUAUUUUUUAUGAUAUAUAAUUCAAUUUUCCUCAUGCUUCAACAAUUUUAUUGAGUAUACUGUCGUCUUGUUUAUCAUUUUUUAUAUUAUUAAUAAGUAAUAAUAGGCAUGAAAAUAAUAGCACUCGGCAUGAAAAACGCUGCCCCUGCAGCGAUGUGUAAGGAAAAAAAAAAUCUAGACUUAAAAUCGCUGCCACAACAAUUUUAUUUUUUUUACAAUGGCAGCGAUUUUUAAUAAUAAUAAUAAAAACAAAUUUAACAAAAUCGCUGCUGUGGCAGCGAUUUUUAAUAAAAAAUAUAUUUUAUUUUUUUUUACAAAAUCGCUGCCACAGCAGCGAUUUUUAAUUAAAAAAAAUUAAAAUUUUUUUUAGACGAAAUCGCUGCUAUUUCGUCAUUUUGCCCUUUUGGCUAGAAUAAAAAGUGAUGUGCCCUUUUGGAAUUUUUGACAAUUUUUUUUGCCCUUUAGGCUCCGGACUCGAGUAACUGUUUCACAAGAAGUAGUUGAUCCGAUAGUAAGCAUCUCUCACUUUUAACUCUACGGUUAUGAGUUCGAGUCUCUAAGACAGGAAAAUAAAUGGGAGCUCCUAGGGAGAUACGCUCUAGAGGUAGAGUGAUUGUUUCUAAAGAAUUUCUAUUGUAUUCUGCGACAUCCAAAUUGGAUAUAACUUUAGCUGUAAAAAGAAGUUUGUAAUAAAUCAUAAUUUUGGUAGGUUGCGAGUUAGCUUGAAACUUUAAAAUGGUAGGUCCCUUUAACAAAUGUCCGUUUUAUUGUUGUGAUCAUAUCUUUUUAGUAUCUUCAGUUUUAACGAUACCUUCUACAAACUCUUUUCUUAUUUAAAUUAACCUAACAACUUAAUAAAAUAUAAUAAUACCAAAAAUUUGAAAACCCAAAAGAGAAUAAUUUAAAAACUUUGGUUUCUUUUUUUUUUUUGUAUUUAUAGUUAUUUUUGGAUAUCAUAUUUGUGGUCCAACAUUUCCUUUUCUUUGAUGAGAAUUGGUCCAAAAACUUAAAUCUCAAGCAAAAUGAAUAGCUAUUUUAGGUUUAGUGGUUAAAUGGCUAAGGCUCUAUUAUUAUUGUCUAUAAGUUGCAAUUAAAAUUGAGUAUGAUGUGAGUAUCCUCUUUAAUUAAUUAAAAUUCUAUUUGCCUAAGGAGUAACUAUUGACCUAUAUAAAUGAGUUCAUAUUAUACAAAGAAUAUGACUUUAAUUGUAAAAAAAGAAAAAAAUUAUCUCCAAUUUAUUUGGUAAAAUGAAAGGCAAGUACAUCAUAAUUAUAGUAGGCAAUAUGGUUGUUGAGUUAGCUUGAAACUUUAGAACCUUUAGCACACCAAAUGAGAAAGGAAGAAAAAAUGGAUAAAAUUCGCGAAUAACCACUUUUUAGCCUCUGUAAUUGAAAAAUAAUCAUCGUCGAGUUUCAAAUUUCACAGUUGAUACUCUAGGACCUAUGAAAUUUGAAACUCCGUGAUAAUGACUAUUUAUCGAUUACAGAGCUGAAAGUGGAGUUUGAGUUCUUUAUUCUUUAUAUGACACUCAAGAAAAUCAAACAACAUUUCAUCACCAAAUACACAUCUUAUUUGCUCAGAAGUAUAUUUAUCAUAAUAUUAUUUGUAUACAUACAAAGCCAUAUAAUGAUCCCAAAACAACAACAGGAAAAAAUAGGCUUUAACAGAGAUUGAUAGUUACAAACCAUGCAGUAUAGGACUGAAAUGUUUCAAGUGCCUUCAAUGACAACUUCAUAAACUCAAAGGGUAAGGUGUUCCACCUUUCUUGUGUUACUAGCUACUCCUUGAUUUGAUUUUCUCUCGUCUUGCUCGUCGUAGGAGUUCCCUUUGUAGCUAGAGCUAGCCUCUUCGUUAUCCGAGCAGCCUGGUCUUUCAGUAAGGAACUGUUCCCAAAAGACAUCGUUCACUCGAACAGGAGCAGCUGCAGGCACUUGCUUGUUGGCAGUUGCAUCAUGUGAAGGUGGCAAAGAUUUGUCAUCAGUAGGAGGGAUUUUGUCAUUGGCAUCAGACUGUGAUUCGAAACGUUUACCUAUCUCUUGACCUAUUUGAGGCAUCCUCACUGAAUAUUGAUUUUUAUCGACUUGUGAAAGACAUGAAGCCAAAGAAAGAUUCAGUUGGCAGGAAAUGUGACCGUCAACUUCCUCGUUAGAUGUCAGGCUUUGUGGCAAGGGAUGCAGUCUUGAGCUUUCAACAUUGCUUGAAGCACGAGGUAGAGAUGAAUCCAUCUUCAAUGUAAAAGACGUUCCUGUAUCUGAUAGUUCUAUUGCUUCAGGGGUAUAAAUUACUCCUACCGUUCGAAGUUGCACUUCUCUGGACCAUCCUUCAGAUAUUCUCCUAUGUGCAGGGCUUCCGCCAUCAUCAUUCGAACUUUGGGUGCUGCAUGAAAGCACAUUGAUAUCUGAAACAGCAGGUGACAAUUCAAGCCUGAGCUUAUUUGAAAAGUCUUGAUGGGAAAGGUUCCCAAACUCAACUCUAGAACUGCUAUGGUUGUCCACCGACAUACUUUCUUGGACUGGUUGAGUGCUGUCGAUUUGAGGCAAUCGCCUCUUCUUACUAAAUGCAGAAAUAUCCAUGGACUCGAGUUUCUGAGCAAGACGCUCAACAAAGUCAGGAUUUUGAAUUGCCUUCUCAACAAAUGCCAGUAAACUCUCCUGCCUUUGCUCUAUACUGCCAACCCGCCCAGUUAGUUCUUCUAGCUGGAGUUUUGCAGCAGAUUGUUGCUGUCUGAACCUUGAGACAUUAGCCUCGAGCCCAGACUUCUCACGUGUAAGUUUAUCAAUCUCUUCCUCAAAUGCAGCUCUUUCUGGAUCAACUGUGGAACCUGGAGGGUGACUAUGACUGUGAAUGGGUUUUCUACGAUGAAUGUUCUUAAGUAGAUGCUUCUGGUCCUUCAAGAAUUCCUCAUUGGCAAAUUCCCAUCUUUCUGGAUCAAUCUUCCGGAAGCCCUGUCAAUUAGAUAUGUUUAUGAUGUCAAUAAUCCUAGAUUAAAUUAUGGCAGCAACUGAAAUCCUCUAGUAAGCAGGCGCAAUCGGUCCUAAUAGUAGUGAAAUGGAUAAAGAGAGAUUCAUAUAGCCAACCCCAACUAACUUGGGAUUGAGGUAUAUCUAAUGUUGUUGUCAACAAUUGAUAGUAUAUCUCUAUUUAAUGAACACGGAUCACCAAUCUCAGCAAAUAAUUUACUUAAACAACAAUUUAUCUUUGCGUUUCGUCUAUUGCAAUAUAAACACAAUUGGUAAGGGGUACAAACCAUGCUGAGUUUGGAUAAUCAACUCAGAAUAAAUCCGACAACUGGAAACUUCAAUAAAAAUACCCUUAGUCAUCAGGGAAGUAAAGCUCAAAAUUCACAGAUUGCAUGGAAUAACAAACAAACAAAAGCAGCAGCGACUACACUUAGACACGGGGUUACGUAGCAUUAUAUAAAUCUGACAAAAAUUGCAGAUAACUUGAGUAAAUUAGUGAGGUUCCAUCAGAUAUCAUGCAAAUUCUGACUAUACUCUAAAACAGAAGUGAACAUCUGCUCAAAUGCCCUGACUAAAAUUGUUUUGUUCGUUCCGAUUUUUCUUUAAACAGUUGUAUGUAUUUCAAUGUUUAUCACGCCACUCAGGAAGGUGUAUUUGGUUUUUUUUCUUUCCGCAGCAUUAAUCAUCAGUGAAUGUCUGGUAUGAACCCACAUAUUAAAUCACCAGCCAAUGACUGGUAUGACGUGACAUGCAGAGAUUUCAUCCUCGUGAUGUGUAGAGAAUGAUGCCAACAUCUUCUGGUACGAACUAUAGGUGCAACCAGGACACAGCUUUUCCAUGACCAAAGGUUGGUUUCCAAGAGAAUGUUGUUUUUGUGGAAGAAGCACAUACUGGUUUUAGUUGACAUGUUGAGAAAAACGUUGAAUCACUGGAAGGACAUCUGUUAAACACAAAGAAACACUAAACGUGGUGCCACAGGUGGAGAAACAAUAUUAGGAACAGCUAAGUUCCUCAAAACUAUAUUCACCACAGAGAGAUCUAGUUAUGUUAACCUUAUGUCAACAAUGUCAAAGGUUAAGGAAUCCUUCUAAUACCUUUUCUUUGUGCAUAAGCGAAUUCUUUAGUCGCAACCAAGUUGGAGGCAUUCCAUACAUACCAAGUGUAAAGCAUUCUAAGAAAGUCCAUACACCUAGAAAAAACCCAACGAGAAAAGAUAACCCCCUCCCCCUCUCCAUUUACCUUACCCAAAAGACCACGAUUUAUUGAAAAAAGCAUAUAUUAUCAGUUACGUCAAUCUAAGUGCUUUAAGAUGAACACAUCUAAUCAAGUGAAGUGCUCCAUCACAUAUACAUACCACUAGGUCCAGUUGCCAUCCUUAUAUGAAUACUCCCACCUCCACACUUAUCAUAACUAACCCACCAAAAACAAAAGAAGAAAAAAAUAGUUAGAACUUCCGCCUCCAUUUUGUUGUCUUCAAGCACAAAUUCAUCAUAAUAGUCCUCUCAUGUUUAACAGCCCAUCUCACACCCUCUAAUGAAAACAAAAAGGAUCCUGAUAAUUAGAUAUCUAUCUAAUAGAUUCACAAAAAACCUUGCACCUCGACAUUGCCCCACUUCAAUUAACUAUUCAUAAGCAAUAACUUCAUCAGAAACAACAACUAUGCCUUAAUCCCAAACUAGUUGAGCUAUAUGAACCCUCAAAAUCCAUUCUACUUCAUCUAUACUCAAAAAAGUUCAAGGGAAUUCAAUCAGCAAACCUCGACUUAUCACAUAGAAAAUUGAAGUAAGAAUUACAUGCUUGCUAGAUGCUAGAAUUCACCUAAUAUUCAUCCGUGAUUAAACGAACCACUAUAACCAUAGAAAUGCGGAAAUACAACAACUCAAGCUUGAACUUUAACCACAUAUUGUAGCUCAAAAUCACAUCAUAGAAAACCAAUUCAAAGUUUUUCAGCUGAAUCCAUUUCAACAGAAAGAUGACAAACUCAACAAUUCAAUUUCAAUAGACAAAAAAUUAAUUCAAAGAUUCAAUUUUUCAGCUUAACCCAUUUCAAAUACAGCAAAAUCAAUUCAAUGAUCCAAUUCUUCAGCUAAACCCUUCAAUUCAAAGAUUCAGCUAAACCCAUUGAAACAGACAGAAAAUCAAUUCUUAAGCUGAACCCAUUUCGAAAGAUCGAUAAUCAAUUCAAAGAUUCAAUUCUUAAGCUGAACCCAUUUUGAAAGAUUAGAAAAUCAAUUCAAUGAUCCAAUUUUUUCAGUUGAACCCAAUUCGAGAGAAGUCAAAGUGGAGAGAAAAUACAUACGUAAGUAUUGAGCUGUCGAAUGAAACUGGAGAAAUUGUUGUGUUUGAAAUAAGUAGGAAGAAGAAUUCGAGCGAAUUCUGGAGGAUUCCACACGACAAAGCUGUGACCAGUCGGAGUCCAUGAUACGAUGUCAUCAGUUUGCGAAUCAUCCACCAUCUCAUAUGUCUUCAACAAGAACGGCGCCGGACCUCCACCGCCGCCGGCCGCCACCGCCGCCGAAAUCACAUCCAUUUUAUUGAACUGAGAGAAACGCGCCGGCGAGGGACGACGAAUCAACUUUUGAAGACAAAAGGCUUAGCCGUCCGAACUUGACUUCUAAGUUUCAUUUUGAGUCUUCACUUACCCGGGUUUCGGGUCAGAACCGUUCGUUCGGGUUUCGGGUCAGUAUGGUUUGUUCGAGUUUCGAGUUAGUAAAGUUGGUUUGCGUAUCGAGUCAUUAGAGUUCGUUCAGGUAUCGGCUUAGUAAGAUUCGUUCGAGUUCUGAUUUAGUACACUUCAUUUGUUUGGAUUUUGGGUUUGUAUGAUUCAUUUGGUUAUCAGUUCAGUAGGAUUUGUUCUAAUUACAGAUCAGUACGAUUUAUCCAGAUUCAUGUUAAAACCUAUAGAUUCUAAGUCAAAACUGUUUAUUCGAAUUUUGAGCUAGUGUGGUUCAUUUUGGUAUCGGGUUAGUACGAUUCAUUCGGGUUCAAGUUAGUAUGGAGUAUGGUUCGUUCUGCUAUUGAGUCAGUAGAGUUCAUUCGGGUAUCGGAUGAGUAUAAUUCAUUCGAGUUCGGAGUUAGUAUAGUUCAUUCGUUCAUAUUCUAGGUUAGUACGGUUCUUUUGGGUAUCAGUUUAGUAUGGUUCAUUCAGACUUUGGAUCAAUACGAUUUAUUUAGAUUCACAUUAGAAUAGUUUAUCAUGUUUUGGAUCUCAGGUCAAACUGUUUGUUUGAAUUUCGGGUCGGUAUGGUUUGUUCAACUUUUGAAUAAAAAACUGUUAGCACAAUUUGUAUAAUAUAUAUACUUUCAGGUUAUACAAUUCACCACAAUUGUAUACAUAGAAGCAGGGGCAGACCCACGUUGGUUCCAGGGGUUCACCCAAACCCCCUCGACAAAAAAUUACACUAUAUAUUAAAGUAAAUUUUCUGUAUUUCUGUAGAUAUAUAUAUUUUGAACCCCUUUAAUAACAAAGAGAAACUGAUGCGCAGUGGCAAGUCCCUUGAAAAUUAAGUUGUGCGUCACUAGUUUGAAUUCAGUUAUGUUUUUCUUUUCUUUUUUUUUUACUUUAAAAAAUGUGCUAAAAGUGUGGUUUUAAAUCCAAAAAAAUCCAUAGUUCACAUUUUUAAAGGCUUAUUUACACGUUUAUACUUUUAUUUUUCAAACCCCCUGAACGAAAAUUCUGGAUCCGCCACUGCAUAGAAGAUAUUCAUUUUGUAGGAGAACAAAUAAAACAUUUUAUUCAUAAUAUGACUCUUAGUAUGAGAAUAAUAUUACAAUCCAUAGAUAUUCAUACACACCAAAACUAAAGUAUCUAAACCAUUUUUAGAAUGAGACCUUAUUGAAAGGGAAAUGUGCUCGUUAAUUAAAAACAACAAUAUAAUAACAUUAAUAAUAGUGAUCGCGAAAUUUCUGUCUUUCAUCCAUUAUUGUUACGUCCAUGAUGAUCCGAAGGGCUAUCAUGCCCCGGAGGAUCAAUGAAAGAAUCACCAAUUUGUAUCAAAUCAACUAAGAAUCAAAACAAAAGAAGUGUUGUAUUAUCAGAACCAUUCUUUCAGUUAAAUCAUUUCUCUCAUAGGAUCAUUUUUUUUUCUAUUAUCGCUCCAAUAAAAAAAAUCAAAAAAUCAUAUAUACCUGUUUUAGUCAUUGUUGUGGGUGCUACAGGGAAGAGCAAUCCACCCAAAAAUAUAAACAAAAUGAACAACGUGAGUGUUGCUUUAUACAACAUUUUUCCUAAGAACUUCAAAAAAAAAAAACUUUUGUUUAAUGAAAUUUGAUUACUUUUGUUUAAGUCAAGUUUUUUCCUAAAUUUCACACUUAUUUCAUACUUUUCAAAAUUAAACAACAAAAGGUCAUGUCAAAUCUUAAAUUCGACUCUCUUAUUAUUCAAUUUUUCAGGCCUCGUGGUGAGAAAAAAAAUGGUUUGUAUUAUGAAACAAAAAUAUUUAGGUGUGUUAAUAAUAUAUGAUUAAACUAAUUUAAAGAUAAAAAUAUUCUUUAUAUAAGUAGCGUAACAAUUUCUAUAUUAUUAAUUACCGUAUUAUGGUAAUUUCUUUACUGGCCACUAUUGUAAAAGAUUGAUUCAACGAGAUAUGUGUUUAAAAAGACUAAUACAUUAUUAAUAUAUUCACAACUUUACCAAUAGAUUAAUAUAAUUGAAAUCUAAGGAACAUAUGCAUUAAAUUUGUCUACUUACUUCUAUUUUAUUUUAUUUGUGUUACUUUCUUCUUCUUUAGUUCAUUUAAAACAAAUAUCUUUAAUUGACUGUUUAGUUAAAGUAAGACACUGAAAUUAAAAGGAAAUGAGCAUAUAGUAGUGAAAAUAGUUGAAUCACAUGACUAUUAUAAUAUAUGAAAGUGUUGGAUAUUUUGCAAAUAUUUUUUUUCCGAAUAGACGUAUAGUGUAAUAUUUUUAAAAUGAGUAUAAGAAUAUUUCUCCAUAUUUAUGAUAUGGCGUAAAAUUAUAAGACAUAUUAUGAGUUAAGGAUAUAAUCUUAUUUUCAUGACAUGACCUCUAUAUUUAUGUUGUGGCGUAGGCACUUUAAUUUUCGAAAAAGGACCAAAAAUACCCCUGAAGUACAGAAAAAGGUCUAAAAAUACCCUCCAUCCAUCUUUUAAUCUAAAAAUACCCUUUUAUUCAUCUUUUUGGUCUAAAAUUACCCUUCCAUCCACCUUUUUGCUCACUUAUACCCUUAAAACUAACAACCCUCUCUUUUUUUUUAAAAUACUUAUUAUGUGUCAUUUUCUUAUUGAAUGAAAUAUAAAUCCACCUCUAUUAAUUUUUUCCCAUAAUUUAUCCAAAUCAAAACAAUAUAUCUUUUCAAGAUCCAAAAAAUAUAUAUUUUUAAAUCUAGUAAUUUCUAUUUUCUAUAGUUUUUUUCCGAAAAAAAAUAAAUUGUUUUAGAUAAUUAAAAUAUUUUUAAAAAUACUAGUCAUGCCACAAUUACAGGGACAUACUAUAUUAAUAUAAAUCCUAAAAAAAUGUCUAUCUUUUUUUUUUUUUUAAAAAAGGAUCAUUUAAUUAUUUUGACUAAUAAUCUUGUCGUCCGCGUCAUUAGUGAUCAAAUCUUGGACUGGUGCACCAACUGGAACAACUUUUUUUUAGGAUUUAUAUUAAUAUAUUAUGUCCCUUUAAUUGUGACAUGACUAAUAUUUUUAAAAAUAUUUUAAUUAUCUAAAACAAUUUUUUUUUUUGGAAAAAAACUAUAGAAAAUAGAAAUUACUAGAUUUUAAAAAAAAUAUUUUUUAGAUCUUGAAAAGAUAUAUUGUUUUUAUUUGGAUAAAUUAUGGGAAAAAAUUAAUAGAGGUGGAUUUUUAUUUCAUUCAAUAAGAAAAUGACACACAAUAAGUAUUUAAAAAAAAAAAGAAGAGGGUUGUUAGUUGCAAGGGUUUAAGUGAGCAAAAAGGUGGAUUGAAGGGUAAUUUUAGACCAAAAAGAUGAGUAGAAGGGUAUUUUUGGACCAAAAAGAUGAGUAGAAGGGUAUUUUUAGACCAAAAGAUGGAUGAAGGGUAUUUUUAGACCUUUUUCUAUACUUUAGUGGUAUUUUUGGCCCUUUUCCGUUUAAUUUUUCAUUUGAAAUUCCAUAUAUAUUUUGAAGUUUGAUUAAAAUUUAAAUAAAUAAUUACUAAAUAUAUAUAUAUAUAUAUUCCACAACACAUAAAACAUUUUAUUCAUAAUAUGACUAUUAAUAUGAGAAUAUAUUACAAUACAUAGAUAUUCAUAAACACCAAACUAAAGUACUUACAUAUUUUUAGAAUAAGAUCUUAUUAAAAGGGAAAUGGGCUAGUAAAUUAACAACAACAACAACAAUAUAACAACGUUAAUAAUAGUGAUAUAUAUCAUCAGUUUAUGGCCGACGAUCGCAAAAUUUCUGUCUUUCAUUCAUUAUUAUUUUCAUUCUGUACCAUUAGCUCGAGGACUAGGAUCUCCAGAAUCAGCGAUUAAAGAACGGUUAUUUUGUACUAAACUUCUUGCUAUCACUGAGAAUCAAAACAAAAGAAAUAUUGUACAUUAGAAAGAUUUUUUCAAUUUUGUGAUUUUUUUUCAUAAAAGAUUGAUAUAUUGUUCCAACAAAUAAUUCGAAAAAUCAUAUAUACCUGUUUUAGUCAUUCUUGUGGGUGCUACAGGGAAGAGCAAUCCACCCAAAAAUAUAAACAAAAUGAACAAGAUGAAUGUAGGUUUGUACAACAUUUUUCUAAUCAACCACUUCAAAAAUAAAAAAAAAAUAUAAACGUUUGCUUAAUGAGAUUGAUUAAUUUUGAUGUUUUAUAAAGACUUUCUUCGGUCAUAAAGUCAAGUCUACUCCUAAAUUCCACACUAAUUUCAUCAUUUUCAAAAUUAAACACCAAAAGGUCAAGUCAAAUCUCAACCUUACCGUAUGUUGAAAGACAAAAAGCAGGUGAAAGCAGACAUUCUAGGAACUAUGAAAACUAGAUUAACAAACAAUACUUUACACUAUUUCAGGGUCGAGAUGUGACCCAACUUAAUGGAAAUGGGCAUAUCACUGCGGUGGAUCCACCUAGGUUAUACAUUGCGCCCCUUAAUUAUUACUCUCUCUGUUUAAAAAAGAAUGACCUCAUUUCUUUUUUAGUCAGUUUCAAAAAGAAUAAUCUCUUUCUUUUUUUGAUAACAUUUUAAUUUCAAUUUUCCGUGUGACAUGUUUAAGGUCACAAGAUUAAAGGGCAAUUUUGUACAUUUGACAUAACUUUAAUUUAGGACCACAAGAUUCAAAAGUCUUCUUUAUUUUCUUAAACUUCAUGUCAAGUCAAAUUAUAUCAUUCUUUUUGAAAUGGAGGGAGUACAUUAAUAUAUUAACUCUUUUUCUGACAAAAAAAAAGAAAAACACUAUAUACAUGAUGGUGGUCAAUUUCCUUUUCUCGACCUUCGUGUAUAGUUAAAUCUUUCUACAGUAAUAAUGUGUUUGAAAAGUCGGUGCUUAAUAUAGCGAGGUAUUGUUAUAUAUGUGUAUUGAUAUUUGACGUUUAAAUCUCAUUUAGCGGUAAUAAAUAAAAGUUUUUUUUUUAAUACUCUUUCUAUGUUAUAAAUGAUAAAAGAAUGCUUGUUAUAUUUAAAAUUUCUAUUGUUUUCAUAUUUCAUUAAUUAAAAAUUAAAAAGACCAACACGUUAUUAAUAAAUUCAUAAAUAGUUAUAUUGUACCAAUAAAGAAGUAAAAUCUUAGGAACAUAUGUAUUUUAAAUUAGGAAAAGUCUUUUUGGCUAGAAAAUUUGGUCAGAAUGAUAUUUUAUCUAUGUUAUUUUACUUUUUUAAAUAUUUUUACCCUUUUAACUUUGAUACAUUUUUACUAAAAAAUUGAAAAACCAUCGGUUUGUUUUAAAAUAAAAAAUCUACUAUAGUUUUUUUUAAUUUUCUGGCCAUUUAGCACUUUCCUUUAAAUUAAUUGGAAAUUUAAACAUUUCAAGUUUGACGUAAGAAUUCUAUAUUUAAGUUAUUUCGUAUAUUUCAGUCUUAUACACAUAGUAAUCUCUUCAUCUAUACAAGUUUACGAUAUGUAUGUCAUUAAUAAUGAUUAUCAUAAAUAUUUUAUUUUACACAUAACAUAUUUAUUAGAUAAUAUUUGAGUAUAACUAUUAUAAAGAGAAUUUUACAAAGAAUGUAUGAUUCAUUCGAGUUCGGAGUUAGUAUAGUUCAUUCGUUCAGAUUCUAGGUUAGUAUGGUUCGUUUAGGUAUUAGUUUAGUAUGAUUCAUUCAGAGUUUGGAUCAGAACGAUUUAUUUGGAUUCGCAUCAGAACAAUUUAUCGUGUUUUGGAUUUCAGGUCAAAACUGUUUGUUUGAAUUUCGGCUCGGUAUGGUUUGUUCAACUUUUGAAUAUAAACUGUUAGCACAAUUUGUAUAAUAUAUACUUUCAAGUUAUACAAUUCACCACGAUUGUAUACAUAGAAGAUAUUCAUUUUGUAGGAGAACAAAUAAAACAUUUUAUUCAUAAUAUGACUCUUAGUAUGAGAAUAAAAUAUUACAAUCAUAGAUAUUCAUACACACCAAAAUUAAAGUAUCUAAACCAUUUUUAGAAGGAAUAAUGGUCUGAAAAAUACCUCAACUUUGGUCGGAUUUGCUGUUGUGAUACUAAACUUUCAUGAGGACCUAUUACCUCCCUAGACUAUUUAAUACCGUAUUUUAAACAUAUAUAUUUGCCCACGUGGACAUAAAAAAUAAUGCAAAAUUAUAAAUAGUAAUGUGUCCAUGUGGGCAUAUAUAUACAUUUAAAAUACACUAUUAAAUAGUUCAGGGGGUAAAAAAUACAGUAUUAAAUAGUCUAGGGAGGUAAUAGGUCCUUAUGAAAGUUUAGUAUCGCAACAGCAAAUCCGACCAAAGUUGGGUAUUUUUCAGACUCUUAGUCUUUUUUAGAAUGAGACCUUAUUGAAAGGGAAAUGGGCUCGUUAAUUAAAAACAACGAUAUAAUAACAUUAAUAAUAGUGAUCGCGAAAUUUCUGUCUUUCAUCCAUUAUUGUUACGUCCAUGAUGAUCUGAAGGGAUAUCAUCCUCUGGAGGAUCAAUUGAAGAAUCAUCAAUUUGUAUCAAAUAUCUCGAUAUAAUUAAGAAUCAAAACAAAAGAAGUACUGUAUAUCAGAAAUAUUCUUUCAGUUGUAUCAUUUCUUUGAUAGAAUAUAUACACCUGUUGUAAUCAUUGUUGUGGGUGCUACAGGGAAGAGCAAUCCAGCCAAAAAAAUAAAAAAAAUGAACAAGCUGAGUGUUGCUUUGUACAACAUUUUUCCUAAGAACUUCAAAAAAAAUAAUCUUUUGUUUAAUGAAAUUUGAUUAUGUUUAAUGUUAAAGACUUUCUUUAGUCAUAAACUCAAGUCUUUUCCUAAAUUCCACACUUAUUUCAUACUUUUCAAAAUUAAACAGCAAAAGGUCAUGUCAAAUCUUAAAUUCGACUCUUUUAUUUUCCAAUUUUUCAGGCCCCAUGGUGAGGAAAAAAAUAUUGUUUUAUAUUAUGGAACAAAAAUAUUUAGGUGUGUUAAUAAUAUAUGAUUAAACUAAUUUAAAGAUAAAAAUAUUUCUUAAAUUUAGUGUCUAGUUAAAGUGUGUGUGUAUAUAUAUAUAUAUUAGUAUUUUUCGGGUAUUUCUUAGGCCUCAUGACCACAUAAUAUAUGCAAAUUUUGCAUUAGAUAAUUCCUCCUUGUAUUUCAACUAGUAACGAAAGCCCGGGCGCUGCCCGGGCCCAACAUUAAUAAAGUUAUAUUGUUAUUCUCUCCGUCCAAUAUUAGAUGAGAAUCUUACUAAAAAAAAAAAUUUCAUAUUAUUUGAGCACUUAUUAAAUUAGGAUAGAAUUAAUUAAUUCUUUUCCAUUUUACCCCUACAAUUAAUAUGACCAUUCCUAUAUUGUAUGUGUAUUUUUUGUAACUCAUUUCAAUGUGCAUUGAUAUAAAGAAAGGGCAAAAUGGUGAAGUCUUCCAAUGUAUUAAUGAUUUCUUAAUCACCGUGUAAAGUUGGAAGUGCCCAUCUAAUAUGGGACGGAGGGAGUAUAGUUUAUGUAUUGUUAUAAAAAUAGUAAAGAUUGUUGUAAUAUAUUUUGCUCAUAAGUGAGCUAAUAUAGAAACUUAUUUGUCAUUUGUCUUUUUAAUUUCAAUUUUAAAUAGCAAAUAAAUGUAGCGAUAAGAUUGAGGGUAGAAAUGAAGCAUAUCUUUCUAAAUUUAAGUAAAAAUAAACAGAGUAGAAGUAACAUUAGGGUUAUCGAUAGGACGAUUCAUUCGGGUAUUUUUUUAAAAAUUAUAUCAUUCAAUUUUUCGGCUAUUUUAUAAUGUAUAACCAAAAUUAAAAUUUUAAAAUCAUCCCAAUCCUAAUAUAUGUGACACAAGCAGUACAAAAAUUAGUCUUUUUUUUGUUCUCUUGUAGAUAUUUUAAGUUAUUAUUUAUUGUAAAUUAUAGUACUUUUUAUUAAAGUUUUUAAUAACAUAUGUUACUUUUUAUGUUUGAGAGUUAAACCAACUUUUUUUUAUAUGUCUUUUAAUUUUAUAUGUGUUUUGUCCUUUUCCAUUUUCAAAAACUAAUACUCUCUCCAUUUCAUUUUAUAUGUCAUUUAUUUUUAUAAAUAUAUUGGUUAUUCCCUCUUCUUAUGUCAUAUAUUAUGAAAUUUGAGAAGUUAUUGAAAUUUUUAUAUGAUUCUAAAAAUAUUUUAAAUUGUUAGCUAUUGUGAUUUGUAGUACCUUUUUUUACAGAAUUUUGAAAAUAAUAUUUAUUACUCUCUUUGUUCUAAUUUAUGUGGCACAUGCAAAAUUUCAAAUAUUAACUAUUUUUUAUAUGUCUCUUUACUAUAUUAAGUUGUUAAUUAUUGUAUUUUAUAGUACAUUUUGAACUUAAUUUUUAAAGAAUAUAUGUGAUUUCCCAUGUCCCAAUUUAUGUGGCAUUAAUUGAUAGAUUUGUUGGAGUCGAGCGAAUUUUUUUGUUAAUUAUUGUAAUUUAUAGUUUCUUUUUCGUCAAUUUCAAACAAUAUACGUUUAUCAUAUAAUCCAUUUUAUGUGGUACCAAUAGAAUUUAGAGAGUCAAUUAUAUUUUUUAUAUAACUUUUAAAUAUUUAAGCUAUUAAUUAUUGUAAUGUAUAGUAUUACUUAUAUUAUUUUUGAAUAUAUAUGUUACCUUUUUAAUCCUAAUUUAUAUGGCAUUGAUAGAAUUGAAAGUGUCAAAUAAUUGUUAAUUAUUGUAAUAUAGUAUGUAGUACUUUUUAUGUAGUUUUUACUAUUUUAAAGCAUACUAAGUAUAGUAUUACUUAUAUUAUUUUUGAAUAUAUAUGUUACCUUUUUAAUCCUAAUUUAUAUGGCAUUGAUAGAAUUGAAAGUGUCAAAUAAUUGUUGUAAUAUAUAUAUUUUUUUUUAGUAGAUAAGUGUGAAUGUGAGGGUAUUUUGAAAUACCCAAAAUACCCUCACCUUGACACUUAUGUUCAACCCUCUCCUUUUUUUUUUGGUGCCAUGUGUCAAAAGAAGAGUGAAUUUUAUUCACUCUUCUUAUAUAGUAAUAAUAUAUGUGAUAUUAUUUAGUUGGACAUAAAGACAAAAAGACGAAAACAUUUGAAAUUUAUAAUAUGUUAUAGAUAAUAAUGUAACUAUAAAUUAUUUUAAUUAAAAUAAAUCUAAAUAUAAAAUAAUUUCGUUUGGGACAAAUUAAAUAGGAAAUUAUAUCACAAGUAAUCAAAACUAGAUUUUAAUCUCUUCACAAAUAAACGACACUAAAUAUUAUUUUCAUGAUAUGACCUCCAUAUUUAUGAUGUGGCAUAUGUACAUAUUUUUAAAAAAAUUUCAUUGGAAAUUCAAUGUUUUGAAGUUCGAUUAAAAUUUAAAUAUAUAAUUACUAUAUACAUAUAAUCCACAACACGUAAAACAUUUUAUUCAUAAUAUGACUCUUUAAUAUGAGAAGAAUAUUACAAUCCACAGAUUUUCAUAAACACCAAGCUAAAGUACUUAAAACAUUUUUACAAUAAGAUCUUAUUGAAAGGGAAAUGGGCUAGUAAAUUAAUAAUUACUCUCCUUGUAUCAAAUCUCUUACUAUCGCUGAGGAUCAAAACAAAAGAAAUAUUAUAUAUCAGAAACAUUUUUUUAGUUAUAUAAUUUUUUUUCAUGAUUGAUAUAUCGUUCCAACAAAAAAUUCGAAAAUUUUUAUAUACCUGUUGUAGUCAUUCUUGUGGGUGCUACAGGGAAGAACAAUCCACCCAAAAAUAUAAACAAAAUCAACAAGGUGAGUGUUGCUUUGUACAACAUUAUUUUUCUCAACCACUUAAAAACAAAGAAAUUUUUUUGUUUAAUGAGAUUGAUUAGUGUCAAUUUAUUUAUAGAAAAAAAGGAAGAUAAAUUCAACUGCAUAGGCCUUUUUAAUUAAUUUUGAAGAUUUACAAAGACUUUCUUUGGUCAUAAAGCCAAGUCUACUCCUAAAUUUCACACUUAUUUUAUAAUUUUCAAAAUUAAACAGCAAAAGGUCCUAUCAAAUAUUAAAUUCGACUCUCUUUUUUUCUAAAUUUUCAGACCCCAUGGUGAGAAAAAAUAGUGUUAUACGUGUGAGAGAGAGAUUAAACUUAUCUAAAGAUUAAAAAAAAAAUUCUUUAAAUGAACACUGUGCAACAAUUUCUAUAUUAUACAUCACCACAUUAUUGUAAUUUCUUUAUUGUCUUUUAUUGUGAAAGAUUGAUUCAACGAGAUAUGCGUGUUUAUAUAUAUUGAGAGACAUUAAAUACGUAAUGGUGGACAAUCUCCUUUACAUGACCAUGCAUCAUGUACCGUUAAACUUCUAUGAUUUGAUUAAUUUUGAUGUUUUAUACAAACUUUAUUAGGUCAUAAAGUCAAGUCUACUCUUAAAUUCCACACUUAUUUCAUAAUUUUCAAAAUUAAAUAGUAAAAUUAAAGGUCAUGUCAAAUCUUAUAUUUGACUCUUUUUUUUCCUCCAAAUUUUCACACAUGGUGAGAAAAAAAAAGGAAAAAUUACAAAAGUAUACUACUUAAGACUUCUAUUAACAAAAUAUCAGUAUACUUAUAUUUAAUUACAAACUAAGUUUUUAAAUUACAUACAUAACAAAAUAUUUAAUUUUUUAUUUUACUUUAAAAAAAAAUUACCGGAUUUUCUCUCUCUGACUCUUAGUAGUUUGUGCCAUAUUAUGUGGAGUGUAAAUAGGUAUUUAAUUUUAUCAUAUAUUCUCUCUCAUUAAACAACCCACAUCCACACGUUUGCUUAUUCUUUUUUAUUUCCUUUUUUAUGUUUUGUAGUAAUUUAUUGGGAUUCCUUUUAUAUAAAGAUUUGUGGUACCAAUAAAGUUGUUACAGUACUAUAAUUGAGGUAUAGUUCCAAGAAAUAUUACAAAUCUCUUUUCACACGUUUCAUUAUUUUUUUAUUUCCUUUUUACAUUUUGUAGUCAUUUUUUUCUGUCCAUAUUGAUUUAUUCCUUUUAUUUAAAGAUUUUUUAUGAUACCAAUAAAAUUAGUACAAUUAUCAAUAACUGAGUUAUUUUCAAGAUAUAUUAGGAUUCCUUUUUCAGCGGUAUAUUGAGAUAACUCUUUAGUUUUAUUCAUCCAUAUUUCUUAAACCUAACAUCUUCUUCACUUAAUUGCUUGUCAUUCCAAUUAACCAGAGGCCUCACCAUAAUUUCUAACGCCUAACCAUCCAUCUUCUUCUUAUCAGAUUCUAAUGCCUAACUAAUUUUUUUACUUGAACAUAAUAUGUUAAUUCUGGUAACAGUCCAAACCAAAAUAUUAACCUUUUAUAGUUUUUUUACAAUUCACCGUUAUAUAGGUUGGUAUAUAAUUCAAACAUUUGAAUUACUUUAUACAACCAUUAUUAUGCAAUUGGUUUUAGCAUUACUCAAAUAUUAUACCAAAUCUGUUUUAUUUGUGCUAUUUGUUUUCAUUCAAUGUUUUAAUUUGCUAUAUAUACCAUUAAGUUUACCAAAUUUUGUGUAGGUUUUAUUAUAAGUAAAUCAUUUUUUUUACAUUAACAGAGUGAGUUUUUUUCUGGUAUCAUUCAAACCAUGAUUUUAAUUUUAAGUAGUUUUUUUCUAAAUUUAUUGUUUUAGGUUGGUAUAUAAUUCAAACAUUUGAAUUACUUUAUACAACCAUUAUUAUGUUCCUAUAUGUUUACCAAUUUUUGUUUCCUAUUUUAACGUAAGUUCACCAAAAUUCUCCUUUAACAGAUUGUAUUUAUUAUGGUUUCAAAUUAAACCAAUAUAUUAACACACCUCAUUUUUUCAAUAGUCCUAUAUUUUUUCAAAUAAUUGGUUUAAUCAACUUUUUACAUUAACAUAGUCUAUUAUUUCUGGUAACCAAGUUCUUCACAUUAACUAGUUUUUAAUAAUUUUUAUUUUAGGCUGGAAUUAUACCAACCUUACUUGCUCAUUCACAACGCGAUUAUUAAAUGAGUUCAUGAUAGCCAUUAAUAACAAUUACGGAUUCAAUAAUAUUAAUAAGAUACCAAAUAGUAAUCAACUUUCAAAUAAGGCUUCAUUGAGUUCAACUGUAUAAUCAAAUAAAUGAGUUCAACUGCAUAACUUUCUGCAAAGUAAAAAUAACAAUAAAAAUACUAUAACGCUAAUUCUCAUGUGAUUUUUUUGGGCAAGUCUUCUUGUUAUCCCCAGAUAAACCACAUUCACUAGAGGUGACUUUUCUUUUCUUUCCCUUUCUUUCGGUGAAUUCCUUGUCGCGAUCAUUUUUGGUGGUCUGCCUGGCUGCUUUCUUGCAAUUGAUGGUAACAUUACCUCUUUCAAAAGAUGUGAUGGAAUAUCCCAAGUGCUUUCGCAAGGCAAGGGUUCUAUUGGUAUUGCAUAUGUAUCCUGAUAAUUCUUAUUACUAUAAUAAGCGGAAUAGUAGUCAUCGCGAUGUUUAUUCCUAUAUUUGAUAGUAGCAAUUACAUAACUACAAGGGAUCUCAUCGUGUUGAAAUCUACCACAACUGCACAUACGAGUAUUUAGACAUACUGUAAACCUCUUUGCACCAUUUAUAACUGUAUGAAGGUGUUCUGUUGAUCAGCGUACCUUCAAUUUAAAACAUACAUUAUCAGUAAUAAUACCAAAACAUACUAUGUAUAAUAUAGUAUUGUUAAUACUUACUAUGUAUUGAAUUACAAACUCUUAAUAUCUUGCUAAAUUUUGCAGAAUGCAGUUACUACAUCCAUAUAUUUAAACAUCUUGGUAGUUACAUUGGUAAUUGAUGGCACACAACUAAGUUUUUCUUUUUAUACACUCUAGUAAGUGACUAACUUUUUCACCAUUUACUAUACUAAAUAAUAAAUUGGCAUACUUGUGGUAAUUCACACUAACAGGUAUACCAANNNNNNNNNNNNNNNNNNNNNNNNNNNNNNNNNNNNNNNNNNNNNNNNNNNNNNNNNNNNNNNNNNNNNNNNNNNNNNNNNNNNNNNNNNNNNNNNNNNNNNNNNNNNNNNNNNNNNNNNNNNNNNNNNNNNNNNNNNNNNNNNNNNNNNNNNNNNNNNNNNNNNNNNNNNNNNNNNNNNNNNNNNNNNNNNNNNNNNNNNNNNNNNNNNNNNNNNNNNNNNNNNNNNNNNNNNNNNNNNNNNNNNNNNNNNNNNNNNNNNNNNNNNNNNNNNNNNNNNAUAUUAUCAAUUUUUCAAUUUAUUAUAUACACCAAUUCAAAUAAUCAAAAUAAACCAAAUAAUGUACCAAAAUAUUAUUUUAUUGUUGUAUUUUUAUAUACCAAAUAAUACAACAAAAAACACAUAUACAUGCACCUACAAUCUUACUUGCAGUUGGUAUGUGUACACCAUAUCACAUAUCAAAAGUAAUAUUGAUACAAUCUGUUAACAUACGCCAUUCAACAUACCAAUUUAAACACACAAUUUAUGAUGUUAUUUUAAGUUGUUGCAUUAAUCAAUUAAACCUAAAUUUUUCAAAAAAAUCUUAUUCGACACAUCAGAUUACAAUAAAAAUCAUAUGAAGUUGUUGUAAUUACACCAAAAUCGUUAACAUAAAACAACAAAUCAAUACCAAAAGAAUAAAAACUCAGAUGCUGUGAAAAACUCAAUAUUAUUUCACAAACAAUUGAUAAAUUUUAAUAUUUAUUUAUAAUUAAACCAGCAUAUUGAUGCUCCAGAACAUCAAACAAAUCGUAUGAAUUUACAUUCCACCAAAAUCGACAAAAUAAACCAAAAGAAUAACUACAAAAAAGAUUAAAAUCAAUAUGUUGUAAAAAAUCAAAUACAACCACGAAAAAAAUCACCAUAUGAACUGUUUUUUAUCAAUUACCUGAUGAGUCGCAUCACCCGCUGUGUUGAAUUAGAAUUGAAAAUUAUUGGUAUGCAUUUAGAUCGUCGAUCUUAGUAGAGAAGAGGAGUUUUAUUUUUGUAUGAAACCUAGAUAAUAUAUAACAAAUUGGGAAGUAAAAUCAAAGGAAAAGUAAAAAUAAUUGGAGAAAUUUAAGGGAUACGUGAUAUUUGUGGCUGACUUGGUAAACGUUUUUAAAAAAAGAUAAAAAUUCUAGUUUUGAAAAAAAAAUAUUGUUAUAUAGUUGAAAAAAAAAGUAUUGCUAUAUUGAUGUAAUUAAAGACUUUAAGUUGUAUAUUUAAGUUUUUUGCCCAAAAAAAAAUAGUGUUUUAUAUCAUGAAACAAAAAUAUAUACAUGUGUUAAUAAUACAUGAUUAAACUAUAUCUAAUGGCAAAAAUAUUCUUUAAAUAAGUAUUGCUCAGCAAUUUCUAUAUUAUUAAUUAUCGUAUUAUUGUGAUUUCAUUAUAGUCUUCUAUUGUGAAAGACUGAUUCAACAAGAUAUUUGUGUUUAUAUGUGUUGAGGCAUUAUAUGUUAGGAAGUCUUACGGAAAAUAUUUCAUUACGAACACUUGUAUGGAAUUCAUUAAAGCUUGAGGUGUGUUUGCAGACACUAUCCUUAUAUUUCACCCGUUAUAGGUGUAUCCCAGGAUUUAACAAACUCAUUCUAGUAGAAAUUAGGAGCUAAAAACUAGAGUCCGGAGUCUAAAGGGCAAAAAAAUUUGACAAAAAUUUCAAAAGGGCACAUAAAAAAAAAUUCUAACCAAAAGGGCAAAAUCGCUACUUCAGUAGCAAUUUUGUUUGACACCGUUAACAGAUCAAAAUCGCUGCCCUGAUUUUGUCCAACUUUUUUUUUUCUUCAGAAAAUCGCUGCCCGGGCAGCGGUUUGAGUUUUUUUAAAAAAAAUUAAGAUCGCUGCUAUGGCAGCAAUUUCCAAAAAAAUAAAAUAAAAUUGUUUUUAUAAAAACAUUGCCACAGCAACAAUUUGGAUACAUUUGGAUAGAUUAAUCUAUACAUUUGGAUAAACCUAUAAGAAAAAAUCUUGAUCAAGAGGAUGAGACAAUUAAUCGAAAAUCAAUUAAGGCAUUUAUGUACCUUAAGGCAUGCAAAGAUCCCAGGAAGACCAUGACCACAACCAAGCUAAAAACAAAUGAAAAAGAGUCAAUAAGAUUAAGGGAUAAGGGUUUGAAAAACAUUUCCGCGAUUGAAAGUAACCAAACACUGAAAAAUGGUUUCAUCAAGUAAAAUAUCUAACCAAAUAUAAUUGAAAUCUAAGGAACAUAUGCAUUAAAUUUGUCUGCUUACUUCUAUUUCAAUUUAUUUGUGUUACUUUUUUCUUCUUUAGUUCAUCUAAAACAAAUUCUUUAAUUUACUGUCUAAUUAAAGUAAGACACUGAAACUAAAAAUAAAUGAGCAUAUAAUAGUGAAAAUAGUGGAAUCAUAUGGCUAUUAUAAUAUAUGAAAGUGUUGGAUAAUUUGCAAAUAUUAUUUUCCGAAAAAACGUAUAGUGUAAUAUUUCUAAAAGAAUAUUUUUCGGGUAAUUUUUGUAUUAGAAAAUUCCUCCUUAUAUCCCAAUAUAUGUGAUAUUAUUUGGUUGGACACAAAGACAAAAAGUAAAAUUGAAAUUUGUAACAUGCUAUAAUGGUUAAACUAUAAGUCACUUCAAUUAAAACAAUUUCAUAUGGGACAAUUUUUUAAAAAAAGUAUCACGUGAAAUAGGACAUUUUAGCACAAAUAAUUAAAAAUUAGAUUUUAAUCUCUUCACAAAUAAACGAUACUAAUCUCAAAUUUUAAACUAAUGUAAGAAAUAUUUAAUAGGAAAGCAAUCUAUUCAUAAAAAUUGAAUACGAGUAGUAAUAAAAAUUAUAAGACAUACUUAUAAAUAUGAUGUUAUUUUAAUAAUAUGAUCUCCAUAUUUAUGAUGUGGCGUAAAAUUAUAAGACAUAUUAUGAGUUAUGAAUAUAAUCUUAUUUUUAUGAUAUGACCUCCAUAUUAAUUAUGAUAUGACGCAUGCACAUAAUUUUUGUAUAGUUUUUCAUUCGAAAUUUAAAAUAUAUAUUGAAGUUCAAUUAAAAUUUAAAUAUAUAGCUCCACAUCACAUAAAACAUUUUAUUCAUAAUAUGACUCUUAAUAUGAGAAUAAUACUACAAUCCAUAGAUAUUCAUACACCAAACUAAAGUACCUAAAUAUUUUUAGAAUAAGAUCUUAUUGAAAGGGAAAUUGACUUGUUGAUUAACAACAACAAUAACAACAUUAAUAAUAGUGACGUCAUUAUAUUAUUUUUCUCAAACACUUAAGAACAAAAAUAUAAACAAAAUGAACAACGUGAGUGUUGCUUUGUACAACAUUAUAUUAUUUUUCUCAAACACUUAAGAACAAAGAAAAACUUUUGUUUAAUGAGAUAGAUUAGUGUCAAUUUAUUUAAAGAAAAAAAAGGAAGAUAAAUUCAACUGCAUAGGCCUUUUAAAUUAAUUUUGAAGAUUUAUAAAGACUUUUUUUUUUUGUCAUAGAGUCAAGUCUACUCCUAAAUUUCACACUUAUUUCAAUUUUUUCAAAAUUAAACAUCAAAAGGUCAUAUCAAAUAUUAAAUUCGACUCUCUUUUUUCUAAAUUUUAGACCCCGUGGUGAGAAAAAAAAUAAUGUUUUAUAUUAUGGAACAAUUAUAUAUAGGUGUGUUAAUUAAUUAUAUAUAUAUAUAUAUAUAUAUAUAUACACCACAUUAUUGUAAUUUCUGUAUUGUCCUCUAUUGUGAAGACUGAUUCAACAAUAUGUGUGUUUAUAUAUGUUGAGAGGUAUUAAAUACAUGAUGGUGGACAAUUUUCUUUUUUCGAUUAUUAUGUACACUUAGGGGUCGUUUGGUGUGAAAGAUUAUACUAAAUAGUCUUGGGAUUAAAUUAUAAUGUCACUUAAUUUGUUGAUUAUCUCAAGAUUAACAAUUAGUAUCGAAAUAAGUUAUCCCUCUCUUUGAAUGGUAUAAUAAUUUCAUCAUAAUUUGUCAUAGGAUAUAAAUGACAAAAUCACCCUUCAAACUCUUUUAUCUUAUCACUCUUCUUAUAUAUAUAUAUAUGUGUGUGUGAAUUUCGCAUUAGAUAAUUUCUUAUUGUAUUUUAAUAUAUGUGAUGUUAUUUGGUUUGACACAAAAAUAAAAUGAAGAAAACAUUCAAAAUUUAUAAUAUGCUAUAGAUAAUUAUUUUACUAUAAAUCAUUUCAAUUAAAAUAAAUCUAAAUAUAAAAUAAUUUCAUAUGGAACAAUUUAUUUUUUUUAAAAAAAUAUCACGGGAAAUAGGACAUUAUAUCUCAAAUAUUACAAUCCACAGAUUUUCAUACACACCAAACUAAAGUACUUAAUUAAUAAUAGUGACGUCAUCCGUUUAUGGCACGGGACCUCGCGGGCUUCUGUCCCCCGGAUCUUGAAUUCCCCGAGGAAUUCCCAAUUUUUCCACGUUCACUGAGAGUCGAAACAAAAGAAAUGUUGUGCAUCAGAAAUAUUCUUUUAGUUAUAUGAUUUAUUGAUAAAUAAAAAUAUUUAUAUGAAUUAUUUGUUUUCGUACAAAAAAAAUAAUCAAAAAAUCAUAUAUAUACCUCUUGAAGUCAUUCUUGUGGGUGCUACAGGGAAGAACAAUCCACCCAAAAAUAUAAACAAAAUCAACAAGGUGAGUGUUGCUUUGUACAACAUUAUUUUUCUCAACCACUUGAGAACAAAGAAAAACUUUUGUUUAAUGAGAUUGAUUAGUGUCAAUUUAUUUAUAGAAAAAAAAAGGAAGAUAAUUCAACUGCAUAGGCCUUUUUAAUAAAUUUUGAAGAUUUAUAAAGACUUAUUUUGUCAUAAAGUCAAGUCUACUCCUAAAUUCCACAAUUUUUACAUCAAAAGGUCAUGUCAAAUAUUAAAUUCGACUCUCUUUUUUCUAAAUUUCAGACCCGUGGUGAGAAAAAAAAAAUAUUGUUUUAUAUUAUGGAACAAUAAUAUAUACGUGUGUUAAUUAUAUAUAUUCUUUAAAUAAGCAUUGCGUAACAAUUUCUAUAUUAUUAAUCACCACAUUAAUGUAAUUUCUUUAUUGUCCUCUAUUAUAUAUGAAAGACUAAUUCAACAUAUGUGUGUCUAUAUAUGUUGAGAGACAUUAAAUACAUGAUGGUGAAUAAACUUUUUUUUUUCAAUUAUAUAUCAUGUACGCUUAAAAUCUCUCUAUAUAGUAAACGUUACAUACUUUUGUCUGAAAGUUUCAUGCUUAUAAUUAGGGGUGUUCACGGGUUGGUUUGGAUCGGUUAUUGGUCAAAACCAAAAUCAAACCAACUUAAUCGGUUUUAAAAUUAUCAAAACCAAACCAAACCAAAUAUAAUAUACAUUUAUCGGUUUGGUGAUUAUCGGUUUCGGUUUGGUUUGGUUCGGUUAUUCGGUUAUUAACCAUACACAAAAAAAAAAGAAACAAUUCAUUUAAAAUGUGAAAAAAUGACAACAAUCCAUUCAAAACGAAAAAUAGUUAGAAUGACUUAAAUUACUAAACUUUCAAUCACUAAAUUUACUAUCAAUAAAGCUUUAAAAUUCACUAUAUUGGCCUAGAAGGAAGAGACAAUAACAUUUUCAGUCCCACAAAAAAAUUGACAUACACACUCAUAUACAUGAAAUCAAUAAGAUAAAUGUUUCAUCUUGGGCAUUUUUGCUUUCAAUAAGUAAAUUAUAAAGAAAUUUUAAUGAAAAUAUGUAUAAGAUCUUUAAAAUUGUUUAUAAAAANNNNNNNNNNNNNNNNNNNNNNNNNNNNNNNNNNNNNNNNNNNNNNNNNNNNNNNNNNNNNNNNNNNNNNNNNNNNNNNNNNNNNNNNNNNNNNNNNNNNNNNNNNNNNNNNNNNNNNNNNNNNNNNNNNNNNNNNNNNNNNNNNNNNNNNNNNNNNNNNNNNNNNNNNNNNNNNNNNNNNNNNNNNNNNNNNNNNNNNNNNNNNNNNNNNNNNNNNNNNNNNNNNNNNNNNNNNNNNNNNNNNNNNNNNNNNNNNNNNNNNNNNNNNNNNNNNNNNNNNNNNNNNNNNNNNNNNNNNNNNNNNNNNNNNNNNNNNNNNNNNNNNNNNNNNNNNNNNNNNNNNNNNNNNNNNNNNNNNNNNNNNNNNNNNNNNNNNNNNNNNNNNNNNNNNNNNNNNNNNNNNNNNNNNNNNNNNNNNNNNNNNNNNNNNNNNNNNNNNNNNNNNNNNNNNNNNNNNNNNNNNNNNNNNNNNNNNNNNNNNNNNNNNNNNNNNNNNNNNNNNNNNNNNNNNNNNNNNNNNNNNNNNNNNNNNNNNNNNNNNNNNNNNNNNNNNNNNNNNNNNNNNNNNNNNNNNNNNNNNNNNNNNNNNNNNNNNNNNNNNNNNNNNNNNNNNNNNNNNNNNNNNNNNNNNNNNNNNNNNNNNNNNNNNNNNNNNNNNNNNNNNNNNNNNNNNNNNNNNNNNNNNNNNNNNNNNNNNNNNNNNNNNNNNNNNNNNNNNNNNNNNNNNNNNNNNNNNNNNNNNNNNNNNNNNNNNNNNNNNNNNNNNNNNNNNNNNNNNNNNNNNNNNNNNNNNNNNNNNNNNNNNNNNNNNNNNNNNNNNNNNNNNNNNNNNNNNNNNNNNNNNNNNNNNNNNNNNNNNNNNNNNNNNNNNNNNNNNNNNNNNNNNNNNNNNNNNNNNNNNNNNNNNNNNNNNNNNNNNNNNNNNNNNNNNNNNNNNNNNNNNNNNNNNNNNNNNNNNNNNNNNNNNNNNNNNNNNNNNNNNNNNNNNNNNNNNNNNNNNNNNNNNNNNNNNNNNNNNNNNNNNNNNNNNNNNNNNNNNNNNNNNNNNNNNNNNNNNNNNNNNNNNNNNNNNNNNNNNNNNNNNNNNNNNNNNNNNNNNNNNNNNNNNNNNNNNNNNNNNNNNNNNNNNNNNNNNNNNNNNNNNNNNNNNNNNNNNNNNNNNNNNNNNNNNNNNNNNNNNNNNNNNNNNNNNNNNNNNNNNNNNNNNNNNNNNNNNNNNNNNNNNNNNNNNNNNNNNNNNNNNNNNNNNNNNNNNNNNNNNNNNNNNNNNNNNNNNNNNNNNNNNNNNNNNNNNNNNNNNNNNNNNNNNNNNNNNNNNNNNNNNNNNNNNNNNNNNNNNUAUUUUAUCGGUUUGGUUUGGUUUUUCGGUUUGGAUCGGUUUUUAUCCAAACCGUGAACACCCCUACUUAUAAUAGUGAAGUGUAUAUAUAUAUAUAUUUUUUUUUUAUUUUUUUUUUAUUUUUAUUUUUUAUUUAUUGACAUCGGACGAUUAGAUCUUAUUUAAUUAUUAUAAACAAAAAUAUGUAAAAAAAAAUUUGUACUUUUUAUGUUAUAAAUGAAACAAAAUACUUGUUAACCUAAAAUCCGAAAUGAUUUUCAUAUUUCAUUAAUUAAAAAUUGGAAAGAGUAAUACAUUACUAAUAAAAAUAUAAAAUACAUAGCUAGUUAUAUCAUACCGACAAAUAAUUAAAAUCUAAAGAACAUUUACAUUUGAAAUUAAUUGAAAAUUUAAACAUUUCAAGUUUACAUAAGAAUUCUAUAUUUAUAGGCUGUUUUGCAAAAUUUUAGUUUCUUAGCUAUUACACAAUAGAUAAAACAGUUUAUUCAUAAUACGAAAUAAUAUUACAAUCCAUAGAUACUUAUACACACGAAAACUUAAUUAAGGACCUAAGCAAAAUACUACAUUAAUAAUAGUGAUCAUUAAAUUUCUGUCUUUCAUCCACUAUUAGUAGGGUUAACGAUGUCCUUGACGAUCUGAACUACUAUUAUCCUUUAAAACACCAAUUAAAGAACGAUCAAUCUUUAUCAAAUCUCUUGCUAUUACUGAAAAUCAAAAUAAAAGAAAUAUCGUACAUCAAAAACAUUCUUUUAGUUAUAUAAUUUUAUUCAUAGGAGAUUGAUAAAUAAAAUAUGAAAAAAUAUAUUUAUAGGAUCAUUUUUUUUUUCAUUCAAAAAAUCAUAUAUACCUGUUGUAGUCAUUCUUGUGGGUGCUAUAGGGAAGAGCAAUCUUUUAGUUAUAUAAACAAAAUGAACAAGGUGAGUGUAGCUUUAUACAACAUUUUUCUGAACCACUUAAAAAUAAAAAAAUUUAUAUAGUUUUUGUUUAAUUAAUUGACUAGUGUCAAUUUAUAGAGAAAAAAAAAAUAGGCUCAAUGCAUGUGUAUCAUGAAUUUCUCUCCAAUGUAUUUGACAUCUUGAGGCAAAGACUUUAGACAGUUGCAUGGAAAAUAUGGAACAAAAACUUUGCCUAUAUUGUAUGGGGAAAGUUUUCAUAUUUGAACGUCACUGGUCUGAUUAAUUUAGAUUCAUUUAGUAUAAAUGAACCUAUUAAGAUAGUUGAAAAGUUUUCUAUAAAAAAAAUCUUUAUUUUUAAAAUUCUUUUGUUACAUUCGACAAAGACUUCGAUUUAAUUAGUUGUUUGUGAAUUCUUUAUGCCGUUUUGUAAUGUCAAUAUCGUAGAUGUGAACUUCUAUUUGAAAAACAAGAGGAAGAAAAUAUUUCACAUAAUUAGGACUUAGUCUUAUUAGUAGCGUAUUUAUGUAUUUGGCUUGGUGAUAAUAUAAAGCAUCGUGUCGAUUGUUGUACAUAUAAUUAUUGGUUUUUGUAUUUGAUAUUGCCUAUUCAUGUGUUUAGGUGAUCGGACAUUGCAUAUAUGUUCUGCAUUGCUUUGCUUUGUAUUAACCAUAUUAUUAUACGUUCUUACUUUUGAUGUCUCGCAUCAUUAAUUGCUUACUAUGUUUCGAUUAUCGUACUAUUCUGUUAGUCGUUGUGUAGUUACAAUCUCUUCUACAUUGUUUCUUCUUCUUUAUACUUGAAUGUGUUGCACUCGAGUGUGGAUCUUCCAGAAACAGUCUCUCUACCUCCACAAAGUAGUGAUAAAAAUUACGCAUGCUCUUUCCUUCACAAAUUCCACUUGUGGGAUUUCAUUGAAUAUGUUAUUGUUGUUUUUCUUGUAAGAAUCCUUUGGUACUCAAAAUAAGGUAAGAUAUCCUAGGAUUAAAUUUGAGAUUAGAUAUUCGAUUAAUCUUGAAUUUAAUCAUGAAUAUCCUUAUCUUACCAAACUUGAAAAUUAUUGACUAGUAUAGUGUAAUAUUUUUUUAGGUAAUUCUUAGGCCUCAUGGGCACAUGACAAUAUAUGUAAAAUAUUUUAUUCAUUAUAUGACUCUUAAUUAAUAUGAGAAAUUACAAUUCAUAGAUACUCAUACACACCAAAACUAAAGUAUUUAAACAUUUUUAUGAACUCGUUAAUUAACAACAACAAUAACAACAUUAAUAAUAUUUUGCUGGGGACAAAGUUGACAUAAUAAGGUGAAUGACGCCUCUUAUUCAGAGGACUAUUGGGAGCAACGUGGGCUCUUUCAUCCCUUAAUAUUAAUAAUUGUGACAUCAUCCAUUUAUGGACGAUGAUCUGGAGGACUAUUGUCAAUCGGAACAUAAAUUAACGGAGAAGGAAUAUUGAAAAAACUAUCAAUCUGUCUCAAAUCUCUCGUGAUAUCUGAUAAUCAAAACAAAAGAAAUGUUAUACGUUAGAGAUAUUAUUUCAGUUAUAUGAUUUUUUGAUAAAUUCAAAUAUUUAAAGGAUAUUUUUUUUUCAUACAAAAUUUUAAAAAAAUCAUAUAUACCUGUUGGAGUCAUUCUUGUGGGUGCUACAGGGAAGAGCAAUCCACCCAAAAAUAUAAACAAAAUGAACAAGGUGAGUGUUGCUUUGUACAACAUUUUUCUUAAGCACUUUGAGAAAAACUAUAUUAUAAAAAAAAAAAUGAUGGGUUAAAUUGCACAGCCCUUUUAAUAAAUUUUGAAGUUUUAUAAAGACUUUCUUAGGUCAUAAAGUCAAAUCUUCUCCUAAAUUCCACACGUAUUUCAUAAUUUUCAAAAUUAAACAUCAAAAUGUCAAGUCAUAUAUUAAAUUCGACUCUCUUUUUUCUAAAUUUUCAGAUCCCAUUGUGAGAAAAAAGUAGUGUUUUAUAUUAUGAAAUGAAAAUAUAUACGUGUGUUAAUAUUACAUGAUUAAACUAAUCUAAAGAUAAAGAUAUAGAAAUCUCACGUAAGUAUGGAGAAAUCAAGGAUUGUAUUGAUAAAAAAUAAUGUUGAGUUACAAGCUCCCUAUAUAGGAGAAGAGUCCUAUUCUAGCUAUACUAGGAAUUCUACUACAACACAAAUAUAUUAAUAUACAUGAUAUCCUAGUCGACUUUAACCUCCUACACGAUCCAGUAACUUAGUCGUACAUAAUUUAGGAUUUAGUAGUCUAGUCCUAAUAUGACUCUAAUUCUAACUCGUCAGCCUGCUUCGAUGGACCUGUUCCUUCGACAUAUUCCUUCAGUCUUCAGGCUUCCUUCAACAAAAAAUAUUCUUUAAAUAAGUUGCGUAACAAUUUUUAUAUUAUUAAUAACCGUAUCAUGAUAAUUUAUUUAUUGUCCCCUAUUGUGGAAUACUGAUUCAACGAGAUAUGUGUGUUUAUAUAUGUUGAGAAAAAUUAAAUAUAUGAUGGUGGAUAAUAUAUUUUUCUCGACCUUCAUAUAUAUAUAUAUAUAUAUAGUUAAACCUCUCUAUAGUAAUAAUGUUUGUCUUAAAGUUUCGUUUCUACUAUAGAGAGUUGUAGUUAUAUAUAUAUAUGUACAUUCAUAUUAGGUGUUUAGAUCUCAUUUUAGAUGUUAUAAACAACAGUAUGUAAAAUUACUUUUUGUACUUUUUUAUGUUAUAAAUAAAAAUAAAAUACUUGUUAAAUUUAAAAUCUCAAUUUGUUUUCAUAUUUCAUUUAUUAAAAAUUGAAAAGAUCAAUACAUUACUGACAAAUUCAUAACUAGUUCAUGUACCAUACUAAGCUUUUGACUUUUCUAUUAAUUCUACAACAAAUAAAACAUUUUAUUCAUAAUAUGACUCUUAAUAUAAGAAAUUUCUCUCCAAUGUAUUUGCCAUCAUGAGGCAAAGACUUAGACAAUUGCAUGGAAAAUAUGGAACAAAUUUAAGACUUUGCCUAUAUUGUAUGGGGAAAGUUUUCAUAUUUGAACGUCACUGGUCUGAUUAAUUCAGAUUCAUACUAGUAUAAAUGAACCUAUUAAGAUAGUUGAAACGUUUCCUAUAAAAAAAUCUUUUUUUAAAAUUCCAAACUUAGAGACAUUUAAUUAAGUUCGAAGGAAUUUCACUUGAUUUGUCACAUUCCUUGAUGGAAAAAAAUAUUUUGAUACAUUAGACAAAGACUUUGGUUUAAUUAGUUGUUUGUGAACUAUGUAUGCUGUUUUGUAAUAUCAAUAUCGUAGAUGUGAACUUCUAUUUAAAAAACAAGAGGAAGAAAAUAUUUCACAUAACUAGGACUUGUCUUAAUUAUUAGUAGCGUAUUUAUGUAUUUGGCUUGGUGAUAGUAUAAAGCAUCGUGUCGAUUGUUGUACAUAUAAUUAUUGGUUUUUGUAUUUGAUAUUGACUAUUCAUGUGUUUAGGUGAUCGGACUUUGCAUACAUGUUCUACAUUGCUUUGCUUUGUAUUAACCAUAUUAUUAUAUGUUCUUACUUUUGAUGUCUCGCAUCAUUAAUUGUUUACUAUGUUUCGAUUAUCGUACUAUUCUGUUAGUCGUUGUGUAGUUACAAUCUCUUCUACAUUAUUUUCUUCUUCUUUAUACUUGAAUGUGUUGCACUCGAGUGGGGAUCUUCCAGAAACAGUCUCUCUACCUCCACAAAAUAGUGAUAAAAAUUACGUAUGCUCUACCCUUUCCAAACUCCAUUUGUGGAAUUUCAUUGAAUAUUUUAUUGUUGUUUUUCUUGUAAGAAUAUAUCGUUUGGUACUCACUAUAAGGUGAGAUAUUCUAUAUUCCUGUUGCAGUCAUUCUUGUGGGUGCUACAGGGAAGAGCAAUCCACCCAAAAAUAUAAACAAAAUGAACAAGGCGACUUUAGCUUUGUACAACAUUUUCUCAACCACUUAAAAAAUAAUAAUAUAGUUUUUUUUUUAAUGAGAUUGAUUAGUGUCAAUUUAUAGAGAAAAAAAUAAAUAAAAUAGGCUCAAUGCAUGUGAAUCAUGACUUUAGACAAUUGCAUGGAAAUAGGGAACAAAGACUUUGCCUAUAUUAUAUUGUAUGGGGAAAUUUCUCUCAUUCGUACAUUACUAGUCUGAUUAAUUUUAAUUCACGUUAAUAUAAAUGAACUUAUUAAGAUAGUUAAACAUUUUUUAUCAAAAAAAAAUUCAUUUAAAAAUCUCAAACUCGAGACAUUUUAUUAAGAGUGAAGAAAUUUUAAUCAAUUCGUCACAUUUUCUUUUGUUAUAUUCGACAAAGACUUUGAUUUGAUUAGUUGUAUGUGAACUUUGUGCGCCGUUUUGUAGAGUCAAUAUCAUAGAUGAAUAAAGUGGAUAUUUUAGAAUUAAAUUGAAUUUUAAAUUUAUACCGUAUUUGAUUAAUCUCAAGUUUAAUCCUAAAUAUGUCAACUUAUAUCAUCAAACUUGAAAUUAUUUUAUGCUUUAGUCGACUAAGUUUAUUGACUAAUAUUAUGUGAUUGUCCCUAUCUGGUCUAGCUCUAUUUUUGUGAGCUUACUCACAUAGUCGGUCUCUAGAUAAGGCCACAAUACUGAGGAUUCAUAUAAUUGAUACUAACUAUUUGGGUUUGAGGCACAUAUAUGUUUUGUAUCGUUGUUUGUGUUAACAAUUGUAUGCCAUUUUAGAACAAUAGAAGUUGAAGAUGCUAAAUUUGGGGAAAAACCUCGAUGUAAUCUCACAAGUGGAGUCUGCAGAAGGUAGUGUGUACACAUACCUUACCCCUACGUUGUGAAUACAGAGAGAUUGUUUCCGAUAGACCCUCAACUCACAAAAUCAGUAAGAAAAGGAAAUUAAAUACAAUAGUGAAGAAGUCACGAAGAAAGAAGAAGAGAGCUGCAAGCAAUGCUUAAACAAUAGUUUAUGGUUGAAACAUCACAAUUUGAUUCAUCUAUUUUAAAAGUAACGAUUCCUCAUUUCACAGAGAUGAAACUAGAACAACACUUCACCUGAAGUGAAGCUUCCAGACUUCUCGAACAUUCGAGGAACCAUCAGUAACCUCGGAAAUGAGAGAAGCUGCUAGAACACCUGAUGAAGAAAACAAGAAACUCAUGAGUAUUCUCUUAAAACAUCAACUGGAAAUAACGAAAAGGGUUAAAAGCAACGAUGAUCAGUAGGAUAGUGCAUGAUAAGCAAUUUGAAGCAAUGCAGACGAGCAAGCUAACAGCGAUAUGAAGGUAUUGUAUUGAUCACACAACCCGGACUGGACACUAGCUGUGUGUAGCAACUGGAAUCCUCAUGAUAAUCCAGGCGCACUAGUCGCUCAUGUGAUUCUAGUAAGAAUAGGAUGCAGUGGAGUAUUGAGCUCUAUCUAUUAGGAAACUAGGCGUUUGAUGGAUCAUAUGAUAAAAUAUGUCUAAUUCAUUAACCCUAAAAAGCAGUCACCGGAGUGAGAUAAGACAUGAGAAGCAUUGUUAGUCGAGGCACUCGGGGGCAGGGGGAGUAGAAACAAGCCUCUACUCCCGCUCCACCUCAUGGCAUGACCAAUGAAGCAUAAUGAUCCUCAAACAACAACAAUAUACCCAGUGUAAUCCCCAUAAAUGGAGUCUGGGGAGGGUAGGGUGUACGCAGACCUUACCCCUACCUUUGGGGGUAGGGAGACUGUUUCCAAUAGAACCUUGGCUCAAAAGAGAAAAGCAUGAUGAUCACCGAAAAAAAGAAAAAAGAGACUGAUAACCAGUUCAUAAUUCAACAGCUUUAGAGGACAACGAUCCAGUUCACAAUGGAAAAUGCAGUAGGAAGUAUAUUAAUAGGAAUAAGAGUAAAAGUAAACAAAGUAGCACACCGUCUUUCUCCACAAUCGAAAUAAAUCGCCUUGAUCCACCACCAACACCAAAAUAAUGCUUCUUUGCAGCUAGAUAUACAAUACCAUGAGGACUACAUAAGCACUGCACAAAAAAUAGAAAAAGGAAGGAACAAAAGCAAAAGCUCAGACGCAAGGAGAUUCACCGAUAGAACUAAAAUUAGAAUUUCAACCAAAACAAACCUUUUUAAUAAGUUUGUACAGACUAGGUAGAGUAGAAACUGAGUAAACUGUCUCAGCCAUGAGAAUUAUAUCAUAACCAGCAGCCUGAUCAACUGUUUGGCCCUUUUUUGUGACAUCGUCAUCAGCAGGUACAUGAGGAAGAAUCAGAUGAGCUUCAUUCCAAUCACUUGCAAAGAAGCGAACUUCAGCACUAUUAUUGUCAUCUGUGGCCGACAAGUUCUGUUGAAUAUUGGCAUUGACAUUUGGAAUUGUUAGGCAUUGGAGCACCUCAGCAUUGAAGUCCUGAAAGUGUACAGCACGAGCACCCUAGUACAACGAAAGAAAAAAUCUUGAUCAAGAGGACGAUAAUGAGACAAUUAAUCGAAAAUCAGUUAAGGCAUUUAUGUACCUUAAGGCAUGCAAAGAUCCCAGGAAGACCAUGACCACAACCAAGCUGAAAACAAAUGAAAGAGAGUCAACAAGAUUAAUAAUGGAAGAUAAUUACAAGAGUAAAGUAUUGAGUCAAGAUUAGUUGGCAAAUCUAAAAGCAUUAGGGUGUUGAUCCCUCAAGGAUAAUCACAACUGAAAGAUAAAAAUGAUAAUGACAGUAACUAUGACGAAGUCUUAUUUAAAUGAGAGAACUGAAAUAUGUUAUAAUGAAACUUAAUAGGAAAUCAACAUUUCCACUAUCAAUCUCAAAUUUGACCUCAACUAUUUAUGUUCAAUCAAAGGGGUAAAGAAAACUGAGAAGACUUCCUCAAUUGAAAAACUGAAGUUGAGCAAAAAGGGAGUGAUUGGAGAUGAAAAAUUUCCUCCCCUAAAGACGGUUUCUCCGGGUAUUCAAUAAAAACUUAAAGUGAUCAUAGUCGAUACAAACUUGCACAACUAUAAAAGAGAAUCACCUAUCAAUAUCUCUUUCUUUGGCAGAAGCAUAUGAUCUAUUUAGGGAAAGCAAAAGUUGUUAACAGAAAAAGAACUUUAGUAUGCUUAACGAACAUAAUAAAUCGGACAUCAUUUUGACUAAAACUGCAAUGAGAAGGUUAAUGGAAAGCCGAAGCUAAGAGUGGAUUUAAUAUGUUAGGAUUAGCAGUCUCUAGGCAUAGCAUACAAGAUCAAAGAUUUCACCUCCACAUUAGGAGCCCACCUCUAAAACUCUUUUUCCAGUCAAUGAUAAUUUGCCGCUUUGCAUCUCAGAGCUUAGAGUCUUCACUAAAUCUAAUGAACCUUCCCACAAUUUCAGCCCCCCUGCGAAAUGAGAAUAACAUAAAUGAGAAUAUCAGUCAUCUAGGUGCACUUCACAUUCUAAUUAGUGAUCAGUAAGCACUACCAUAUCUGUAAAUAGAAUGGCCUUGGGACUUUUUUCUCAAGACUUACUGUCCUGCCAUGAACUUUCCCUUACAAAACUCUACUUUAUUUGGCAAUAAAAAUUGAUGUCACUACAUCUUAUUCCACAUCUGAUAAAUUUAAAAUACUCCUAUAAAAACGACAUUCAACUUAAUAAAGUUCACAUAAUUCAUGUUGAGGUAUCAGUAUUUGUGAUGAGCAUGAAGGAGACAAAAUGGAGAACUAAAUUGUUACGUACCUUCAUAUUUCCCGGGGAUUAAAUCUGAAUUAGACAACCCAAAUACCUCCUUUGUACUGACCCUUCCCUAGAAAAGAAUUAAACACCAGUUAAGGCAACUAAACAUAAACUAAAUCAUUCCUUUCUUCCGUUAAAAAUGGUUUCCAUGGAAAAUGUUUUACCUUAGGAAAUCAUAGGCACGAAAUCAUAAGUGUUUGUUUGGUAACAAAAGCAGGUAACAAUUGGUACUUGUAAAAGACAUUGUACAGAGUAUAAGUACAGUGUCAUUACGAUGAUAUCUUUUAGCAGGCUCACAAGUAUUUCUAGAAAAGUUGAUCGAAACAAGCUAAUCGAAGUAAAAGCUAGAAUCUUUGUACAGAAAAAUGACUCAACUUAUUAAAAAAAUUGUUUUUUGGAGAAAAAACAUUUCCGCAAUUGUAAGUAACCAAACACUGAAAAAUGAUUUUAUCAAGAAAAAUAUUUUUUAGCACAUAAAAAAGGAAGGAGUUAAUAAGAUCAUAGAACUAAUCUUACCUUAAGCAAAGUAAGGCCAUCCAAAUCUAUAGGCUCCACAUUGAACUCCACAUUUGAUGAAACCUACUCCAACAACAAUAACAAUAACUACGCCUCAGUCCCAAACAAGUCGGGUUCGGCUAUAUGAAUCUCAACUUCUUCAUUUAAACUCAUUUCAUAUCAUAUCAUACUAAACAAAAUAAAAGUAAAAAAUAAGCACUUCCUCCGUUUCAAUUUGUUUGUCUUGCUUACGCAUGUUUCAAAAAGAAUGUCACUUUCUUUUUUGGCCACUAUUUGAUUCCAACUUCCACGUGACAUAUUUAAGACCACAAGAUUAAAGCACACUAGGAUACAUCCUACAUACAUUUAGUUAAAGACCACUCGAUUAAAGGAUACUAGGGUGCAUCCUACAUAUAUUUAGUUAAAGACUACAAGAUUCAAAAAUCUUAUUUAUUUUCUAAAGUUUAGUGGCAAGUCAAAACCAGACAAACAAAUUGAAGGAGUAACAAUAUGAGUUUUCAAUAUAUUAAAAAGAAAAAUCAACUUCUCGAGAUUCAAACUAUGAGAACUUUUUCACCAACAUUUUUAAAUGUGUUCUUCUUCAUCAUAUCGACGGGAGAAUAAUUGCAACUUGUAGUACUUUCUAUCAAUUUAAUCCAACUUAACUUCAAAUAUUAGUUAAAUUAACUCUCGAUAAGCAAAAAGUGUCACAAAAAUACCUGUGAGGGAAGUACUUCAACAGAAGGAGGAGGAGGUGGAAGAGGCUUUUCUGGGCCAUCAAGAAAUCCUGACCCGAAUCCGAAUCCGAACCCAGAUUGGGAUUUUUCAUCAAAUAGACGAAAUGGGUCGGGUCGUCCAGUAGCUGAUGUAUUCGCCUCCAUAACUAAAAAGCUUCAAGUUCGAGCUUUCAGUGUUGAAGACGGCAACUGAUGGAGAAGCAGUAGCUAUUUUUCUAAACGGGCCAAGAUAUAUAUAUAUACGGGCCUUACUUAUUGGGCUUUCGUUUUGUAACGGGCUUACUAUUUGAACUAUCAUUUUGUUGAUAGGCUUAUUAUGGUCGAAGUUAGAUAAUAUAUAGGGAAAAUUACGCGAUUAAACAAACAUACAUUAGUUAAUUAGUUAAUUAGCUAAUAUAGCUACAGUUUGCAUUAUUACAAUUUGGAACCUACUUUUAGCUAUAGUUAUAUUCUCACUCUCGCCUCUCUCCUCUCUUCCUCUCUCCCCUCUCUCUGGAAUCUCGCUCGCCACUCUCCUCUUUUUCAGUCAUCUCUCCCUCGCCUAUCUCAUCUCCCUGCCAGUCUCUUUCUCGAUUCUCUUAUGUCAAUCCCUCUCUCACUUUAUACAACCACAAAUGUAUAAAAUGUGUUUGUGUUAGUAUAAAGCGAGAGAGAUUGAAUAUACAAAUACAAAUGUUUUAACUCGAUUCAAUUGUAUACGAAUUCAAACUUUAUGAAGAUAUAUGUAUACAUAGUAGUUACAUAUAUACAAUUAUCUAACCAAUAUAUACAUAUACAAUUCACCUUUCUCCACUUUCUUCCUUUUCUCACUCGCCUCUAUCCUAUCUCCCAAUCUCGCUCGCCACUUUCCUUCCUAUAACAUGUAGCUACGAAUCGUAAUUAGCAAACUAUAGUUAUGGAGCAUAAUUAAGUUAUUUUUGAGGGAUUGUAUGCGAAAAUUCUCCAUUUAUUUAAUUAUAUACUAAAACAUAUAUAUUUGAUUUCUUUUUUAAGGAUAAUCAACAAUGGAACCAAAAAGGUCCAAUUGAACAAUAUGUGAUUCAAAUCGUGACAACUUGACUAUCUUAAGCUCUAAUUAAGAGAUAAAUUGUUCACAAUUUGGAUGUAAUGCCCAUUAAUUAAAGACAAGAUAAGAAAAAACAACAAAGCAAAGGGCAUGACAUUAUUGAUACAAUUGAUUGACAUAACAACAUUAAGAUGAUGAAACUCUAAUCUUGUUUGAAGUUGAAGAAACUAAGUCAAUGGCACAUCCCAAUGGCCAUGCUGCUCCAACUAGAUAAUUUUUGUAUUGCACAUCAUGUAUCACUGUUAUUUCUUUGUGUGGAUUUAGUCCUGUCCAAAAAAAGAGGGCGGGGGGGGGGGGGGGGNNNNNNNNNNNNNNNNNNNNNNNNNNNNNNNNNNNNNNNNNNNNNNNNNNNNNNNNNNNNNNNNNNNNNNNNNNNNNNNNNNNNNNNNNNNNNNNNNNNNNNNNNNNNNNNNNNNNNNNNNNNNNNNNNNNNNNNNNNNNNNNNNNNNNNNNNNNNNNNNNNNNNNNNNNNNNNNNNNNNNNNNNNNNNNNNNNNNNNNNNNNNNNNNNNNNNNNNNNNNNNNNNNNNNNNNNNNNNNNNNNNNNNNNNNNNNNNNNNNNNNNNNNNNNNNNNNNNNNNNNNNNNNNNNNNNNNNNNNNNNNNNNNNNNNNNNNNNNNNNNNNNNNNNNNNNNNNNNNNNNNNNNNNNNNNNNNNNNNNNNNNNNNNNNNNNNNNNNNNNNNNNNNNNNNNNNNNNNNGUAAGUAUAUGUAUCGAGAGGAUCGAAAGGACAUAAUUUAACUUAUUAAAGUCUUAAUACACUUAGUCAGAUAUCACAUGGAUUAAAAUAAUAGAGAAACCAAAAGUACUAUAUUGACCCUUAGUUGAAUAACCUAAAUGUCAUUCUAGUGAAACAUCUGAUCAGUGUAUAUAAGUUAAAUUCAAAGAGUUGGAAAAUAUAUACUUACCAAAUCCAUCAACAAGCAAAGUGUACUCAUAUAUCAAGUCCAUACACAAGUAUGGGAUAUUUCUAUCUUGAGUUUUUGGGAAUACAGAUUUUAUGUCUGCCACAUUUGUUUGGCAAGCAACUUUAGCUGCAUUUAAGUAUUGAAUUGGCUUUGCUAGAGCAGAUGGAAAUUUGGUGUCAACAAUGCCAACCUACAAUGCAAAAUUCAACACCAAAAAAUGAUGAUACAUAUAUACCAAAGUAAUAUAAAUAUUAUAACAAUUGACAACUACUACUAGACACUUAUUGGUACAUGAUUAGGUGUCAAGCUCGUGCCGUAAAGUGUUGUGGUUAAGCCCUAUAAUGAGUGCGACCAUAAUUUUUCAUUGUCAUUAUUGAGUUUGAAACUAUAUAUAAAUUAUCGGUGAUAAGUCGGAAAAAGGUUAAUUAGAUAGUAACAAACCCUUAUAGUAUUGUCUACAUCCGAUCAUCAAGUCGUAUAAAAUAGCUCAUCAUAGCCACUAUAGCGACCCCUGCCCCAACUCUAAAUGAUAAGUAUACCCUCCACCAACUUCCUUUAUCACCAAAUUUGAUUAAUUAUUAUCAAGAAAAUUCUUCUUUUCAUUCCUAACAUGCACUACUUAAUUUCAAGUGAAAAACUUGAAAUUAGCUACGAACUUUGUUGCUAGUUCAUCGUGCUUGUAGCUAAGGCUAAUCCGUUGCUGCUAAAUAGAAUUAGCGACAAAUUAGGCUAUUUAAUUAGCCACAAAAUUUAUCCGCCGCUAGAUUCAAUUCUUUUUUAGUAUAGUAACAUUUUUCUAAAUUGUUGCAUAUAUAUAAAAAUUAAUUUUACCUGAGCACCAAUAUCAUAAAAAAAUGAUGAAGCAUGAAUAUUUUUUUGUCCAUCACCACCACCACCAUUCCACACUCCAUUGAAGGUGCAUUCUUCAUUCUUGCAUUUUGUAUUUACUUUAAGUGCAUGUCUAGUUAACCUCCUGCAUCUCUUCCAACUACUACCUUUCUUUGGUGCUUUUACUUUGUAGUCCACUCCUCCAUAUGAGUAAUACCCUAGAAGAAAAAAAAAAUGAUUUCUAGAAUAAGCAGUUACGUGUUUAGAUUAAAAAAAAAGUACUGAUGAAACUGAUAAUAGAUCAUUUUACAAUUAAAAAAAUAUAAUCAGGAUUGAUCAACUUAUAACUUUUGAUUCAUGAUUUGAUUUUAAAAUCAUAGAUAAGUUUAAAAUUAUUUAUAGGCUAGCUAUAGAGCUAGUUUAAUCAGUUUAUAAGUUUGACCAAACACCCUACAUAUAGAGAUACUUAAGUAUUGUUAAGGUAUAUAUAAAUUUAAGUUAUAUACAUUAACAGUUAACAUCAUAAGAUUUUUUACACGAUCAAUAUGGUUUAGCUUAUUAUUGUAGCAUAACUAUUUCUCGUAUUAUUAUAACUGUUUCGGACAAAAUAUAAUUUGUGGUGAAGAUUAGUAAUUAAUUAGAAUUUAUAAGAGAUUAUAGGUAUGUUUAUAUACCAUCAUAUCCUUCCAAAGCACAAGGAUUACUUUCAUUUCUUGAAGCCUUGAAAAUCUCAGCUCGACCUGCUAAUUGCCCAUAGUUUAAAUAACUGCAUAUAUACAUUAAAAAUACAUAAUCAAUAUAUUAUAAUUAUUAAAUACACUAAAAUCUUAAUUAUUGAAUUAUUGUAAGUUGCACUUUUCCCUUUAAUAUAUGAUCUUAUGUGACAUGAAUCUAGAUUAGUCGAGACUUCAAAGCAAUUUAGGCUGAGCUAGACUUUUUAGUUUAUUGGUUCUAGACCAUAAUUCUUUUUACUUACACUAUUUCAAAAAUAAUCUUUAACACUUGAUUGCCACUAAAUACAUUUUUUAAAGACAAGUAAUACUCUUUGUAAAUGUCCCUAAAGUCUAUAACGACAUAGAUUCAGUAACAUGAAUUAACUAAUGUCGGUAAAAAAUUUAACACUCUUUGUUUAUGUGCAUAUUUCUUAUAUAUACCGCUAUUUUUUUAGUGUUACUUGGUUCUGAAUAGGUUAUUUUUACAUAUUAAACCAAAAUAACCAUAAUUGUUCUGUCCCUGCAAAGCGAACAUUAUACGUGUAUACAGAUCGAGUUUGAGCUAAAGUUAGUUAGUUCUCAUGUCAAACUCGUACCCUUGCAAAGUGAGUACCAGAUAUCGAGUGAAAUAGAAAAGGAGGAGAAAACAAACCUAUGUACGUAGAGAUUAUAAUCUUUUGACAUAAGAUGUUUUUGUUGAACAUAAGGUUCUCCAUCCUCAUUUUUAGGAGCUUUUGCAAAUUGUUCAUUUGAUAUAGCAUAUGCCAUUUGGACUGAACCACCACCAAGAUCAAUUGUUGCUGUUGUACUUUUAUAAUCUUUGCCCAAAUUUCCCAAUAAAUAAUUUAUUGCAGCCUAUUAAUAAAUAAAAUAUCAAAUAACCAAAAUUAGAAAGAAACUAAAAAGGAUUUUUAAACUUAUAAUAGCUGAUUUAAAUAAAAAGAUUUGCUAAUUAGUUGAGAUCUUUUACUUACCCUACACUAUGAUAUUUUAUGUUUACUUUUUAAAGAUCAAUUUAUAUGAGAGUUGCAUGUAAUUAUUAUAUUAUAUUAUUUAAUAUUCUCAUGGCCUUUGGGUAUAUACAAAGAGACUCACAUUAAAAAGUCAACCGUCUUUACACAAAUAACCUAUCAGAUUCACUAUUUAUUUUGGGUGAAAAAUAUACAUAGAUUAUACACUUUUAAUAUAUGAGUUAUAUAAUACUGUUAAUUAUUUUUAAUUUAAAGAGUUAGAUGAACGACUUACCCACAUAUAAGAGCCUUCUUGAGUUCCAUCAAGAAUAGUGACCCAUUGAUCUUUGCUAUGGAAAGUGCUUUGAUUCUUCACUAAAUUUCUCACCUUUUAAAAUUGAAAAAUAACAACAAAAAAGAAUUAAUUAAUAAAGUAGUAAAAGGAGGAUUAAUUAUUUUUUAAAAUAAUAAAAGUAUUUUUUCUUCAAGUUAAUAAUAUACUGCUUGUAGAAUUUUUUCAGCUGCAUCCCCUUUUAACAUCCUAAGACCUGCUGUUGCCUGUAAUCAUUUAAAUAAUUCACACAAGAAAACAAUAAUUAAAAGAUUAAUCAAAAGUCUCAUUUAUCAUAAACAAUUCUAAAUGAUAAAGUAACAAUACUAAAAUUUGCAUAAUUAUUUUCUAUAUUAUAAUAAAGUACUUCUUUCUUUUAAUCUCAUCCGGUGUACGUUCAGACCUGCAUUGAAGCCUGACUAAACCUGAAUUCUUACCAAAAAUCUCAUAUAAAAAGGAACUCGAAUCCAAUUAUAUACUUCUAUUAUAUGAUAAUACAAUUGUAUAUUAUGUUAAUAGGAUUUAACCUAUAUUGUGAUCAUUGACAGUGUAAAGAUUUUUCAUACUAUAAAUGUAAUUUUACUUAUUGUCACAAGUUGCUUGAUCUAUCUUUCUUCAUAUUAUUAGUUUCACUUGUUAUGAACAAUUAUAUAUAGGUAAUUAUUUUCGUAGAAUUUUUUAUUGUUAUCUCUUUUUAUGAUAAUUAUUUAAUAUAUGACCUUUUUCGCGUUUUAAAUGAUCUGAUUAUGUAAAAUAUAUAUAUACUAACCCCAAGUUCUAAAGGUGUUUCAGAUUGCAAUUCUUGUGGAACAACUCCUUCAGCUCCAUCUAAAAGUGGCUCAAGUGAAUUGGCUGCAGCCUUUGGAUCUUCUGCAUAUGAACUUAAACCUGGCUCUGUCUAUAAAAUCAAGAUAAAAUUAAUUAAAUUAAAUAUUAUAUAAGAUUUUAAAAGAGGGGGUGGGGGUGGGGGGCGGUCUGAAUUUUAAAAAAUACAUUUUACUAUAUUUAAAUUGAAUCGGUAAUUAGAUCUCUAGCUCUCAAUGAUCAAGUCCAAGGACAGAUCUAGGUAGGGUUUAGGAGUUUCAUUCGAACCCCAUACGAUUAAAAAUUACACUAUAUAUACAAGUUAAAUUUAUUAUUUGACUCCUUCAUAUAUUUACUUUUCAUAAAUUAAACCAUCUAAGUAAUAAUCCCGACUCUUCCACUAAUCGAGUCCACCAGUUACCACUAGUUCUCGAUUUGACUUAUAUACACAAACAAUGUAAAAAACUUUUAAGCGAUAUAGCAUGAUCUUACCUAAAAGAUGAAUAAUAUAUAAGUGGAACUAACUUCAUAAUGAAUAAUAAAUAAACCACUAUAGACAACAAGUUAUAAAUUACACCGUACUGAUAGUAUAAAAAAUAUUUACACGUAUGAUAUAUAUAAUUUAAAUUCGAAAAUUUAUUUCUAACUCAUUCAAAACUAACAAACGCGUAUUUUACGCCACAAUAAAAUAUAGUAUUGUAAAAAAAAAAAUACAUACAUACCGCCAUAAAAUACUCAAUAUUGUUGCCAAUAGGAAGAAGUCCUAAUUUUUCAUCAAAUCGAAAAACAUGAACUCUACUUCCAGUACUUCCAGCAUCAAAUAUUACUGCAUAAUGUUCUGAUUCAUGACUUAAUAAAUGUCUUCUUAAUGGAAUUUGAGCAUCCACAUUUUUGGAUAAUAAACUUAGGGGCAAAACCAAAAAUAUUGCCAAAAUUGUGAAAAUAAAAUGACUAUUUUGGUUCAACAUUUUGCCCCUAUUUGAAGAGAUUUCUGCAUGAAAAAAUAAAUAAACAAGUUAUAUAAAUAUAUAAAAAUCUAUGUAUUUUUUAUGGUAUAAUAAUAUUAAUAGAAUCAGAUUACUUAAAAGGUAAUUCCAGGUUGUUGUCUUAAAUAAGUAUUAAUUGAUGUGAAAUUCUCCAUGUUAUCAAUAUUUAAAUUAAAGACAUGAUACACAUAUAUGUAUAGACUAUCAGAAAAUCAAUAAUUUUGAACGUCCAGUCAAAAUUCAUGCUCUAAUAAAAAAAAAUUGGAAAAUGUUUCGACGAACUAAUUUUUUUACGGAAACUGGUGGAACAUAGCAAAUACUUUAUAAAAUAAGUUUAAGUGUGCAUAAACUGACUCAAACAUUAUAAUAAUAAUAAAAAAUAUCUGAAAAGAGAGAGGGGAGAGGGAUGCCUUUAUAUGCUUUUGGGAGUGAAGGUGAUGAAGCAAAUGGUUCAUCUUGUCCUCUCUUAUAUAGCCUCAUUUCAUAUAUAUUGUAAAUUAUAAAUAUAAAAACCCAAAGAAAAGUCGUUACUCAUGGAACAUGUGAUACUACUACUAUCUUUGUUCCGUAUUAGAUGAACAUUUUUUAUUUUAUACGAUAACUAAGAAAUCAUUAAUAAAUUGAUAUUUUUUAAUAGGAAAAAUUCUUUUGGCCAGAAUGGUAUUUUACCUAUGUUAUUUUAUCUUUUUGAACAUUUUUACCAUUUUAACUUUAAUACACUUUAACUAAAAGAUGAAAAAAAUCAGUUUAUUUUAAAAUAAAAAAGAUAUUAUAAUUUUUAAAAAUUUAUGGCCAAAUUCUGGCCAACUUUUCUGGCCAUUUAGCAUUAUCCUUUUUAAUAUUGUGCCCUUUGUUCAUAUUAAUUAGUUUGUUGAAAAAAUAAAUUUUGAAUUUACAAAAUUUGUUUAAACUUCCAAAGACCAUAUUAAUUAUAGGGGUAAAAUGAGAAAAAAUAAUUAAUUAUAUCCUAAUUUAGUAAGUGAUCAAGUAAUAUGAAACGUAUAUUUUUAGUAAGAUGUCAAUCUAAUAAGAGACGGGGGAGUACUAUUAUCCAAUUAAAUAUAAUAUAAUGAUUUGAUGUACCAAUUAUGAAGAUUAUUAUAUUAUUUUUAUAGUAUAAUUGAUUUUGUCAUUUUUCAAUUAUAAGAUCAAACCUUUCAUUUUCUAUCUAUUAAUAUAAGUGAAAAUUACAAAAGUAUACUAUUUAAGACUUUAACUAACAAUAUAUACACAUACUUAUAUUUAAUUACAAAUGAAGUUUCUAAAUUACAGACAUAACAUAUUUAAUUAAUUUUUGUUUUAAAUUAUUAUUUAUUUUCGAUUUUAGUAUAUCAUUUUUUGGGGAUUCUGUGCCUAUUUUUGGGGAAUGAAAAGAUUAAUAUAUUAUUUUUAUAAUAUAAUUGAUUUGCCAUUUUUCAAUUAUAAGAUCAAAGCUUUCAUUUUCUAUCUAUUAAAGAAACACAUAUUGUCUUAAAUUAAUUAUUGCAUUAGUGACUACUGCCUUUCAUAUUAAAUAUCGCUAAUGAUAUGAUUUUUGUGUUGUUUUCUUUAUUAGAUUCACAAAAAUUAGUUGAAUCAAAAUUCAUGCUCUAACGAAAAAGGUUUGGAAAAUAUUUCGACGAACUAUCUUUUUUACGGAAACUGGUGGAACAUAGCAAAUACUUUAUAAAAUAAGUUAAAGUGUGCAUAAACUGAAUCAAACAUCGUAAUAAUAAUAAUAAUAAUAAUAAUAAUAAUAAUAAUAAUAAUAAUAAUAAUAAUAAUAAUAAUAAUAAUAAUAAUAAUAUCUUAAAAGAGAAAGAGAGGGAGGAGAGGGAUGCCUUUAUAUGUUUGUGGGGGUGAAGGUGAUGAACCAAAUGGUUCAUCUUGUGCGCUCUUAUAUAGUCUCAUUUCAUAUAUAUAUAUAUAUAUAAAUAUAAAUAUUAUUACUAUCUGUUCCGUAUUAGAUAGACACUUUCUAUUUUACACGAUAAUUAAGAAAUCAUUAAUAAAUUGAUCAAUUUUUACUAUUAUUCCCAUUGUUUAUAUUAAUUAAUUUGUUGAAAAAAUAAAUUUUGAAUUUUCAAAAUUUGUUUAAACUUUCCAAGACCAUAUUAAUUAUAGGGGUAAAAUGAAAAAAGAAUUAAUUAAUUCUAUCCUAAUUUAGUAAGAUGUCAAUCUAAUAUAAGACGGGGGAGUGCUAUUAUCCAAUUAAAUAUAAUAUAAUGAUUUGAUGUACUACCAAUUAUGAAGAUUGUUAUAUUAUUUUUAUUAAUAAAAUUGAUUUGUCAUUUUUCAAUUAUAAGAUCAAAGCUUUCAUUUUCUAUCUAUUAAAGAAACACACACUGUCUUCAAUUAUUGCAUUAGUGACUACUGCCUUUCAUAUUAAACUAGAUCAGUGAUGGCCCAUGCUAAGCACGGGCCCAAUAUUCUUGAAUUUUGAUCCAACAAUUAAUAUAACAACAUUACUAUUACUAAUAAAAAUGUUAACAAUUGUCAUCACUAAGUUCAAACAAUAGAAAGAAAAAAAAAGUGAACAUAACUAUUCCUCCUAAAUCAGCAAUAUAGAAAAGGGAAAGUGCUGAGAACUAUUCUGAGAUACACAACACACACACAGGCAUAACAGUGCAGCAUUUGCUUACAGAGAAAAUAAAAAUAGGUCUUUUUUAUAGUAUCAAUGUUUACAAGUCUAAUGUGAUAAAUCAAGUGAGCAUCUUUUCUGAUACAUCUAGAAAGAAAGAAAUCUGAUCUUAAAGGUAAUUUAGAGUCGUCAUGAAAUUACAUAGACCUUCAGCUCUGGUUUCUCCUUCAUUUUCCUUUUUGUUUCCUUUGAGCCAUGAAGUUAGGCAGGGCAACUCCAAUCUGUUCCAAAACUUUCUUCAACAUUGUUAUAUAAUACUACAAAUAGGGCUAGAGCUUUUAGGCGAAUUGAAUAUAUCUAGUAUGAAUCAGGUCUAAAUGAGUAGCAUAUGUAUGAAAAGUUGGAGCAAAAAAUUAAACCCCAUAAUAUAGAAAAAGAGAUAACCUUUGAGUUUGCUGAUAAGCAAAGAUUCCAGUAACCCAAACACACAAAAAAUCAAAAUCAAGCAAAAACUAAUAACUAAUGACAAUACCCUUUCCACCUCAAGCUUCUUGAUAUCAUCAUUAUCUCCAAAAUAAGUGGAAAUUCAAAUAUUUCAUAUGAAACUCUUACAAUUUCGGCACACAUAUAACUUGGAACAAAAAUAAAACACAACUUUAUUUCAUUUACAAUCAAUGCCUAUAUUUCAUUCCUCUGAUGAACAGAUAGAGGACUGGAGGUACUUGCUGAAAGGAAAGAUAUAACAAAACUCAAUCUACUAUCAGUAUCAUGCAUCAUCUGGAAGGCAAACAUUUAACUCUGAUAUUACAAAAGAGCAUAAUAAAUGAAAGAGAUAGAAAGACAGAAAGGAAUAGGAAUAUGCAAAAUUCAAAAAUAAAUAAAUUUCUUACCUCUUCAGUGUCUCGUAAUCAUCUAUAUCUCUUAUUUGCUCUUGGUUAUACAAAGUACCAUGGUCCAAAGACGCUGCAAAUCAGUUGUAUGGUCAUGCCGUCAUGGUAAUCAUAUCCGUAGAUGUCGUGUUGAACAAAAUGUUUGUGGUUAGGGUACUUUAAAAGCUUUUUUCAUUGCUAGUAACUUUCUGAAUAUGAAGCUUUAAACACAUUACAACCAUAUCUCAUAAUACAUGAAUCACAACCAAUAAACAAAACAAACAAACCAAAUUUAAGUAUCGUUUGGGUUUGUGAAAAUUUUCUUCGUUUAUCAUAUGUAUGCUGGGAAAAGCAGCUGACAUGAUAAUACGAAAUGAACAUGAGUUCAUACAUCACAAAAUGUGAAGAUCAAUAAUACCAUUCUAACACUAAAAUUCAAGUAACAGUAAGAAAAAAUCCAAAUAAUUCAUGAAUCGUGUCUUGAAAGUUUUGAAAUAAUAAAUCUAAUGAUUUAUCCUCUGCACAUUUUCUGCAUUUUUGCUUAAGAGGUGAUAAGUUUUCUCAUAACCUAAACAAUAGGUCCACUAAUUUGAGUAUACUUUCAAAUUCACCUCUCUACUUGAUCCUUUUCAGCUUCUUCCUUCGAAAAUUUGUUUUUUCAAGAUGAAGCUUCCUUUAGCCGCAAGAGGUAGUGUUAAAUUAGGUGUUAGGCCUAACUCACACCCCAAAAGCUAACUCAAAGGGAGGAGGAUUGCCCAAACCUUAUAAGAAGUUCACCCAUCUCAUUAACCAUCGAUAUGGGACUUUUGUCAUGCUUUAACACCCCACCUCACGUGCUUAGCAUCUGGUGCGUGAGCAAUUUUGAUUUUUGGGAGCCCCAACAUCGGGUGAGAUGGGCCCUGCUCUGAUACCAUGUUAAAUUAGGUGUUAGGCCUAACUCACACCCCAAAAGCUAGCUCAAAGGGAGGAGGAUUGUCCAAGCCUUAUAAGGAGUCCACCCAUCUCAUUAACCACCGAUGUGGGACUUUUGUCAUUCUUUAACAGUUAAAUUAGGUCUUUAAGCCUAACUCACACCCCAAAAGCUAGCUCAAAGGGAGGAGGAUUGUCCAAGCCUUAUAAGGAGUCCACCCAUCUCAUUAACCACCGAUGUGGACUUUUGCCAUUCUUUAACAGGUAGGUAACUGAUGGUAGGUGUAGAAAUGGUGUACUAUAUCUGAUUUGUGCCUCCUCUUUGACAAAAAGUCAGCAGUACAGUUUGUAGAAAAAUCAACAAUACACUCGCCUCAAUUAGGAACAUGAAGUAGAAAAUUGAUUAGGAUAAGAAAAUUCAACAUUAAACUAAUCUCCAUUAGAAACAUUCAAUUAGAAAAUUUCAUGAUAAACUAACCAAAAAUCAAAAAUCACUCAAAAAUUGGAAUUAAA
Molecule: long non-coding RNA, 84892 nt
Filed under: Solanum tuberosum (potato)
Lineage: Eukaryota; Viridiplantae; Streptophyta; Magnoliopsida; Solanales; Solanaceae
Description: long non-coding RNA (STUB_LNC011924)
Source: RNAcentral